AUACUUGUAAACCGGAGGUGGUGGGGGUGGAGACUUGUACUUGUAAGGGUGCUUGGGUGGGGAUAGAGGUGGUGGUGGGGGAGACUUGUACUUGUAGGGAUGCUUGGGUGGUGAUGGUGGUGGUGGUGGUGGAGACUUGUACUUGUAAGGAUGCUUUGGAGGUGAUGGUGGUGGUGGUGGAGACUUGUACUUAUAAGGAUGCUUUGGGGGUGAUGGUGGUGGAGGUGGGGACUUGUACUUGUAAGGGUGCUUGGGUGGUGAUGGUGGUGGAGGUGGUGGGGACUUGUACUUGUAAGGGUGCUUGGGUGGUGAUGGCGGUGGAGGUGGUGGAGACUUAUACUUGUAAACUGGAGAUGGUGGGGGUGGAGACUUGUACUUGUAAGGGUGCUUGGGUGGUGAUGGUGGGGGUGGGGGUGGGGGUGGGGACUUGUACUUGUAGGGGUGUUUGGGUGGUGAUGGUGGUGGUGGUGGUGGGGACUUGUACUUGUAAGGAUGCUUGGGUGGUGAUGGUGUUGGAGGUGGAGGAGACUUGUACUUGUAAGGAUGCUUGGGUGGUGAUGGAGGAGGUGGUGGGGACUUAUACUUGUAAACAGGAGUUGGUGGGGGAGGAGAUUUGUACUUGUAAGGCUUCUUGUGUGGUGGUGGUGGUGGUGGAGAGUAGACCGGAGGAGGCGGUGGUGGAGACUUGUAAUGGUAAGGUGGUGGUGGGUACUUCUUAGGAGGUGGUGGAGGAGAAGAAUAAGUGUAAUCUGCUGAGGUUUCAAAAGGCAAAUUGAGAGACACUGCUAAAACUAAAAGAGUGAGAAAGAGAGAGGUCAUUGAUGACCCCAUUUUCCCCAUACUUCUAAAAAUGGGUUUAAUUUGGUUAUGCUCUUAGCAACCCUCUUCACUCCCUUUAUAUAGACUUUUUUUUUAACCUUAUAAUCAUGAUAAAAGUUUGAAGAUGGACCGAACCUUCAGCAGCAUGUAAAAAAGACAUUACGUUUAGGUUAUUAGCAUGGUAUGAUAUAAUAAUUCUCUAUUCUCUUCCUUGUCGUUUCCCAUAAAUUCAAUUUUCUCUAUUAAAUAUUUAUCAAAUUCAUUUCUCACUCCCUAUUAAUUCUUUAAUAAGUUUAUAGAAUAUGAAUAAUUAAUCAUUAAACUCGAUUUAAUAAAUACUUUAAACAAUUAAUAAUUUAUCUUAUUUUAUGCUUUAAUUAAGGCAUCAAAUCAUAAUCCUAUUUUAUAUUUUGAAAAUUUAUCAUUUUUUAAAGAACUUAAUUGAUUAAAAUGUGAUUCUAAUAUUUGGCAGGAAAAAUUAGUUUACUUUCCUUAGAAUGUAAUAUUCUUUUGAGAGUUAUUUUCUUACUAAUAAUAGAAAGUGAUAAUUCGUGAGAAAAUUACUUUCACAUGUAAAUAAAAAUUAUUAGAACAAAAAAUUAACUUUCUUUUAUUUAUGUUUAGGUACUAAUUAACUUAUUGAGAUAAAGAUAGUUGUAGCUUGCUUUUUCAUGUCAUUUUCUUAUCUUUACAACUUCAAACCAUUAUUCUAGAGUAAGUUUUUUUUUUUUUUUCUAAAUAGUAGAUAAAUAUCUAUAUUUUAUUUUGCUAUAAGAAAAUUAUAUUUUUUAGCAUACAAAACUUAAAGACAACUUGUAGAAUCAAGUAAUUCUAUGAAAAGCAAGCCUAUUCACAUAUAAUACCUAUUACUCUAGCAAUAAUAAUAUUGACAUUGUCUAAAUUUUCUAAUAAAAAAAUUAUAUAAUUUGUAUGUGUUAAAAAUGAAAAAUAUGGCGGUUAUUAAAAAAGAUUUCAUACAUCUAAAUGAAACUACUAAUUUAAAAAUUAGUAUUGAGAUAAUUUCAAGUUAAUAUUGAAUAUACUUGAAUUUGUACAUACAAAGUAAUGAGGGUAAAAAUUUUGUAAAUUGUACAUCUUCACAAUCUUGAGUUAAUAUACAAUUUUUUAAUGUAUUAAUAUAAUGUUUUAGAUCAAGAUGUGAAAAAACAUAACUCAAAUAUUUGUUAAUAAUAAAAAAUUAUUAAUAAAUAUUUAAUUCAAAAUUUAUUAAUAAUAAAAAUUAUUGAAAAAUAUUAAAUACGUUAAUAUUAUUUUUAUAUAAUAAUGAUAAUUUUGUACAGUAAUCUUAUAUUCUCAAUAAGUGUUAAAUGUCUCAAGAUUUUAAUUAAUACUUUUCAGUGGUUACCAAACAUUGUGAAAUAACUUCUUGAACAAUGAUAUUCUUAUCAAUCACAUUCCAUUAGAAAUUUAACAUAGGAAAGCACCAAAACAACCGCUUAAAAAUGAAUGUGCAUGAUUAAAAUCGCGAUAAGUCUUGUUUAUCUAAAAUUUAAAUAUUCAUUUUAUUAUUUAAAAUAUAUUAAUUUUCCAAAAACAAUCAUUAAUAUUUAUAUUUCUAAUUUUAAACAUUCUUUUGUUAAUUAAAUGAUAGUGUAAACGGUUAAACUCAAAUCGAAAGCAUUUUAUCUUAUAGUAGAUUAUAUGACUCAUAUUAUGGUUGAAAGUAAAAUGUAUAAAAUCAAUACAAACAUCAAAUAUUAAACUUGCACUCAAUAGAUUUUAAAAUUUCUAAUUUUACCACUAAUCUAUUUUAAGAUUUUUAAAAAAUCGUACUUUAGAUUAUCUAAUUUAAAUUUUAAAAUUAUUAAAAAUAAAAAAAUUCUUAAUAAAAAAAUUUGUUUCAAAUUUUUAACCUUUUAAUAUAAUUGUUUUAACUGGUUAUCUAAACUAAAUAAAAACUUAUUUAGUAUAAAAAAAAGUGGUAAAUGUGAAAGGAGCACAAAUCACAACUACAAUAUGCUACAUUAGUUUUAUAAUUGGAUUAAUUUAAUCACCGGCAGAGGAAAUGUGUUAGUUCUAGCUACCACCAAUUUAUUUUAAUUCCUUUAAAAAUAUUAGAAAAAAUCAAUUUGAUUUUUAAUAAUAGAUCUAAUUACUUAAAGGAACAUCGGUGAUGUCCACAUGGCAUACAAGGUUAAGCAUAUAAAAAAAGAACAAAAAGAUUAAGUAUCUUUGCAAGAUAGCUUUCUGAAAUAAAUAAAACUUAAAUAAAAACAAUUUUAUUAUCAAAAUAAAAAGAAAAAAGAAAAGAAAUACUAGUGUUUUUAAUUAAAAUAGAGUGAUCUGGGUAGAAUCUUUUACUUAAAUACUGACAUUGACUUUAUAAGCUAUUUUUUAUCAAAAGAAGAAAGAGAAAAGCAUCCGAUUGAAGAUGUGAAUUAUUAAAUUAAAAUUAAUCAUACAUGUAAAAUUUUAUUGUGCUUUUUUCUAGCCCUCCGAAUGACAUUAUGCUUUGAUUACAACAUUCUUGCUCAGAGAUCGGGUUUGAAGAUGAACUCGGAUGCAUUUAGAUUUUUACAAGUAAAUUAAAGGAUGUUAGAACUUGUAUUCCGAUAAACUUAUAAUACAGAAAGCAAGUAAUAUGUGACUGUACAUAAUGGCUAUGAGGCGAGGAUAUGAUAUGAGAAGAUAGAGAUGAGAGAUUGCACUUAAGGGGUUAACACCACUUUCCUUUUUGUGUUUGGUCCCCAAAGCAUCUCUUAUUGGCUGAUGUUGCAAGGCCGUCCCAUAAGUUGGUCUAAAAGUGCUUGAUAGCUAGAAUUAAUAUUGUGGUAUAACAUAUGUCACCACUAGGUUUGAAUAAGGUUACACAGUGAUUUGAUGAAGAUUUAAAAAAGCAUAGAGAUAAUUAUGUUGCAAAUAUUGUAAAAGUAAGAGCUAAAUUGUUUGGCUUUAUUAGAGUUUAGACUCUGUUAGUCUAUUACCAUUCUCUAUUAGUCUGUUACCAUUUUGUUAUAUAGGCUGUAAUAUUGUUAGAAAGCAGUUAGCAGCUGUUAGUCAUAGUAGUUAGUCAUACAAAUAUAAAUUCUAUUCAUGUAUUGUUCAAAGGUAAGCUAAUAAUAUCAGAAGCGAUUUAAUGUAUUCAUUCUACUUUUUUUUUAUUCUUCAUAAUACAGUUGUUAACAUGGUAUCAGUACCCUAAUUUCUUAGAGGUCGCUUCUAUUGUAGAUCCAUGGCCAAUUCCACUGAUUCUACCUCCACUGGUCGUAGCAGUCCCUCGUUCUCGAUUCAUGUUUGGUUCAAUCGUUUCCUCGUCGUCACACUGAGAAGUUAGAUGAAAGAAAUGUUAUGCAAUGCCAACAGCAUAUCCUAUUGAUAAUUGAAGGGUAUGAACUCAUAAGAUUUUUAGAAGGGACGUUACCUACUCCGCCUCGCUUUGUGUCAUCUCCCGAUGGAACCUUGGCUUCGGCUCCCGAUGCAUUCCUGUUUGUUCAGCAAGAUAAGUUACUCGCUCUUUGGUUGCUUUCUACGAUUAGUGCUCCUUUGUUGUCCUCUUUUAUAGCUGCUAAGACACCGUGUGAGGUUUGGAGCACUGUGAAUCACCUCUUUACUGUUUCCACCAGAGCGAAGUUAUCGCGUAUUAAGCAUGAACUCCACUCCAUCAAGAAAGGCAUGAUGACUGUCAAAGAGUAUAUUAUUAAGAUUCAAAAUACCUGCACCUUACUCGAGGCAUCUGGAUUGGUGGUUUCGAAGGCCGAGAAGGUAGAGAUCAUUCUUGCUGGCCUAUCGUCAGAUUAUGAUGUCGUUUUAACACUACCAUAGUUCUCUUCUGAAACUCUUCCGUUACAGAAGAUAGUUGUUGUGCUACUGAAGUUCGAAAGCCGUCAGACUCAUGUCGUGAAUGACAUACCUUUUCAUGCUCAUCUGGUAGAGGCCACUUCGGCGACAUCGGUGGAGGACUCCGUACAUGGUAGCCAUCCUCCUCCUGGUGCUCGUGGGCAUGACUUUCGACUCGGCUUCAGUUCCAGAUCUAUGGUUGCUAUGGACAUCUGGCACAACGCUGUUAUUAUCAUUUCAACCGCGAAUACAGUGGUCUAUCUGCUCUGACCAUGGCGCAGGCUUCGCUUUUGUGCUGGGCACUAUUCGUGUGACAAUGUUUUUGGUGCAACUGGUCUCUUGACCGGCUGGUUUCCAUCAGCUCAUCCUAGUUCAAACCCCUUCGAUGUGCCUGGACAGUGUGCCGAUUCUUCGGUGACGGUACCGGCGCAUUUCCCUUAUGGCUCCUCUUGGGGAGGAUGGCCACAUUUGUAAAACAAUGCCUCCCUUGUGCCAAGUCUACCGAAUGUUAGGGUUUCUAACCUUUUUGCUCCUAAUUUUAACAAUGAGGCAAGCUAAGUGUUUGGGCCCGCUGUUGAACCAGGCUCAAAUAGUGACCAAUCUGGUGGUCCUCACUUGCCGCUGAAGAUGGGCUAACGCAUUGGGCCAUUCGCUGGUGUUCCUAGGCCAACUGCUUCAGGCCAAGAUUUUGGCCUAAAUGGAAUUGGUAGGCCAGCCAGUGCUCGUCCUAGCAUUGGAUAGGGUUCACUUGGGUCAAAUGUCAAUUUUAUUGGACUUGAGGGUUCUUUUGGGUAUAGACAAGAGUUUGGGCCCACCACUGGCAAUGUUUCAGUGCCAAUUAAUAGAUCAUGUGUUCCAUGGCACACAAAAUCGAGGGCACGCGUUAUUGAUUUUGAUUCUUCGCUGUGCGUUGGGUUGCAUCGCUUUACUAAUUUUCACGCAUCCGAUUUUUUUACUACCACUGGGUCUAAUGCCAAUACAACUCCAUAUAGGUCUAAUUUUGAUAAUGGUAAUUCUUACAUUCCUAUGCCUAUAGGGACCUCAUCAUGGUGUCUUGAUUUAGGGGCUACGCAUCAUGUCUGUUGAGAAGUCUCUGCCUUGAAUAAGUCUACGCCAUACUCAAGUACAUCUCCUUUCUUCACGGAUGAUGGUAUUCCUACAAAAAUAUCGUAUGUUCGGAAUCUUAUCUUGUCUAUGAAAACCAAAUUGCUUCAUUUGUCUAAUGUUUUGUGUGUGCCAAAUAUACGGAAGAAUUUGCUAUUUGUUUCUCAGUUUGCUAAUGACAAUAACGUGUUCUUUAAAUAUCACCUGUCUUAUUGUGUUAUUAAAGACAUCCAGACUCAUGAAAUUUUACUACGGGGCUACACUCGUGAUGGGCUCUAUUAUUUUUCGUCGGUUACUCUUGCUCUGUUUGUCGUUGUUCCUUUUUUCAUAGCACUGGGAUCUAGAGUCGCAAUGCAUAUGAUGAUUGUUUUGCAUUAUGGCAUCACAGGCAUAGUCAUUUGUCUGCCUCGAUUGUUAAACUUGUUCUCGAUAAGUGUCAAGUUGUUUCAAAAUAAAAUGUGCCUUGAAAAUAUUUGUAUUGCAUGUCAAAACGGGAAGUCUCACAAACUGCCUUUUUCAAGUUCUACUACUGAAUAUACAAAUUUGUUUGAUUUGGUUGUCUCUAACUUAUGGGGACCAACGUCUGUUGUCUGUAGAAAUAAUUUAUAUUAUGUUUUGUUUAUCGAGAUGUGUAGUUGAUAAACCGUAAUUUAUACAUAUUUUUAUCCUAUGUUUGGCACAUUUAUAGAUGAUUUAUCCUUAGAUUUGGUGAAUUCGAUGCUCCUAAUCCUUUAAUUUCAUAUUUUAUACUUAGGAGAGCAUAGGAGGGCAAAAAGAGCGAGAAACGGGCCGAAAACGGAAAAAAUAGACCCACAUGGGAAAUCAACAUGGCCUGGACUUCCUCACACUGGUAAGCCACACGGCCGUGUCCAUUUGGCAGGAUCGAAGCAAGACUUACACGAGUAGACUACACGCCCGUGCCUUUUUAAUAGCCUUGACCACUGUCUGGAGCAAUCGCGCACGGGCAUGUCCCUGUCGAGCCCAAGUAUAGUCUUAUUCGGAAAAGGUCUAUUUUAAGGGCUCUUAGGCAUUCUAAAGCUUAUUUAAUCACCUGAGAAGGCACUUAAAAGGGGGGACACGGAGUAGGAAGCAAGGAAUUACUCGAAGAAAGCCGAUUGAUCCAUCUCAGAAGCCUGAUUAUUCAUCAAGACUGAAAAUCUCCCUUCAAUUACCAUUCAGGAGUUUUGGGUUUUCUUUAUGUUUUGUAUUCAUUAUUCUUCUGAGAUGUUUUCUUUUAUAAUUAUGAUUUAAACCCUCUAAAUACCUAAGGGGAAUGAAACCUAAACGGAUCUUGUUAUUAUUAUCUGAAUUAUAUGAUAAAUAUUUGACUUGUUUUUAAUUAUAUGUUCUUAAUUCUUGUCUUAAUAUUCCAGGAUAUUGAUUCAAGUUAAUGCGCUUAUUCAGAGGAGCAAAAGUCCCUGUCUAAGAGUAAAUUUGUCAUAAUUAAACAGAGUUGAUUGCACACCUAAAGAUAGGGUAACAAGAUUUUGCCGAAUUAGGGUGAAACCUAAUAAGGAGAUCCAUAGAUCGAGUUAAUGCAACACUAGGGCGUUAAAUAGAAAGAGAUUUCAAUUAAUCAACCUAGGGUUAGAUGUUAUUAGUCUUGAGAGAGAUAAUAAUAUAACUUAGGGAUUUGUACGGAUCAUGUCAAAUGGAUAAAUCGACUGAUUCAGAGUCAAAUAACAAGUGAAGUCUAGGUGGAUUUUUCCUUGGGUAUUGUCCUAAUCAAGCGAAUUUUCUAAAAGUAUUUUCCCCAAUUUUUCAAGCGAAUUUUCUAAAAGUAUUUUCCCCAAUUUUCUUUCUCUGCACCCUUAGUUUAGUUAAUUAGUUUUAAUAAACAAAUCCUUUAAUUUUUAGGUUAGAUAAUAAAAAGAAAGUGAUUACUAGUACUCUUGGUUCCUUUGGGUUCGACAAUUCGGUCUUGCUAAAGCUAUAUUACUGUUCGAUAGGUACACUUGUCUUUAUCGUGAUAAUAGUUGGUUUCAAUAACGAUCAUUUCUAAAUUAUUUAAAACUUAUCGCAAGUAUCAUGAAUCAAGUUUUUGGCGCCGUUUCCGGGGAACUAAGAUAUUAGGAACACUUGAUUUUUAUUACUUUAGCCAUUUUUCUUUAUUUUUACUUUAAAUUUUUAUUUUCUUUUCUAAUUUUUCUUUUAUUUGUUCCUGACAGGUUUUUAUAGUUUAUGAUUAGAAGAAACCCGUCGGGACCAUUACUGUUUGAUAGUGAGAUCGAUCGCACAGUUCACAGAAACCAAAGAAAAAUAAGACGAAGCUUAAGAUACAAAAAGGAAGAGUAAGACGACGAUACUUCAACCACAAUCGAGAAGAUGGCUGAAAACCAGGAAAAUUUGCUACCUCCUGUGAUUUCUGCUGAUCCAGUAAAUCAGAAUCCUACUCCACGCACUAAGUAUGAUUAUGCUAAACCUACUUUAACAGGAACUGAGUCAAGUAUAGUUAGGCCUGCUAUUGCUGCGAAUAAUUUUGAACUGAAACCUAACACAAUUGAAAUGAUACAGCAAUUUGUUCAGUUUGAUGGUUUGCAGGAUGAGGAUCCAAACAACCACUUGGAAAAUUUUCUAGAGUUUUGCGAUACAUUUAAAAUCAAUGGCGUUUCUACUGAUGCCAUUCGCCUUCAGUUAUUCCCUUUUUCAUUGAGGAACAAAGCUAAACAGUGGUUGAACUCGUUACCACAAGGGUCAAUCACUGCUUGGGAACAAAUGACCGAAAAAUUUUUAUUAAAAUAUUUUUCGUCGACUAAAACAGCCAAAUUACGUAAUGAUAUCUCUUCAUUUAUGCAAAUGAAUAUAGAAACACUCUAUGAUGCAUGGGAGAGAUACAAGGACCUUUUAAGAAGAUGUCCUCACCAUGGGUUACCACUCUGGCUACAGGUUCAAACGUUUCACAAUGGCCUGAAUCCUUCGACUAGACAGAUGAUUGACGCAGCUGUUGGAGGAACUAUCAAUAAUAAGACACCUGAGGAUGCUUAUGAAUUUAUAGAAGAGAUGUCACUAAAUAAUUAUCAAUAGCAAGUCAUGAGGACAAAACCGAUGAAAGCAACCGGGGUUUUUAAUGUUGAUUCGGUCACCAUACUUUCUAAUCAGGUAGAACUUUUGAAUAGAAAAAUUAACAGUUUUUUUGGUUCUUCACAGGUUCACCCAGUAAUGCAAUGCAAUGCAAGUGGGGGAGAAUUGAGCAAUUCAGAAUGCCCACCCUAUGGCCACAACAUGAAAAACAAGCAAUUAAAUUAUAUGGAUAAUAAUCCUCGACCUCAAAAUAAUCCUUAUAGUAACACUUACAAUACAGGAUGGAGGAACCACCCAAAUUUCUCAUGGGGAGGCCAAGGGAAUCAGAGACCACCACCAUUUCCAGGUUUCUAACAGCAACCUUACCAGCAAAAUAAAAAUUUGAACCUUGAGGAAAUGCUAACAAAAUUCAUCUUGGUGUCAGAAACUCGUUUCCAGAAUACCGAGACAGCACUUAAAAAUCAACAAGCGUCGAUCCAAGGGCUCGAAACUCAGAUAGGCCAGCUCGCUAAAUUGAUAUCUGAAUGAACACAAGGUAGCCUACUGAGUAACACUGAAUCUAACCCAAGGGAGCAACUCAAUGCGAUUGCCAUUCAAGAUGAGGAAGGGUUAGUUACAUCUAAACCAGAACCGAGGCAAGAAACUGUGGUAAGUAAAGGUAAAGGUAAGGUAAACCACAUCGAGCAGAAACCGGUAAGUAAAGAGUACAAACCACGAGUGUCAUACCCAAAUGCGACAAAGAAAGACCAUACAGAUGAACAAUUUUGUAAACUCCUUAAACUAUUAAAGAAAUUACACAUUAACUUACCGUUUAUUGAAGCCCUUUCGUAGAUGCCGAACGCAGUCAAGUUUUUAAAGGAGCUUUUAGGAAACAAGUGAAAGUUGGAUGAAGCGUCGCAUGUGGAGUUGAACGUAGCUUGCUCAGCUAUUCUACAAAAUAAGCUACCCAACAAAUUAAAAGAUCCAGAGAGUUUUACAAUUCCUUGCUUAAUUGGUAGCUUAGAUGUUAAUAAUACUUUGGCUGAUUUAGGGGCUAGCAUCAAUGUCAUGCCUUACAAAAUGUUUAAGUAACUAGGUCUUGAGAAACCCAAACAAACUAAGAUGAGUAUUCAAUUAACCGAUGAAACAAUUAGAUUUCCUAGGGUUAUUAUUGAAGAUGUACUCAUUAAAAUUGACAAAUUUAUAUUCCCAGUUGAUUUCGUUGUUCUAGACAUAGAGGAGGAUAGUAACGUUCCUUUAAUUUUAGGGAGCCCUUUUUAGCAACUGUUAGAACAAUAAUUGAUGUUGGCACAGGUGAACUCACACUUCGUGUGGGAGACGAAACAAUCACCCUUUAAGCUCGUAAUUCAAGUAACACAUCAAAAAUUGAAGGUGGUUGUAUAAAUCAUACUAUUAAAACUGAUCAUUUGGUGAAACCUUCCUGGCAGGAAACACGUUCAAAGAACACACCUGAGCCAUGUUCGAGUAACGACAAAAGACCUAUCUAUGAAGAAUGAAGGCUACAACUUGAGGAACUAGAUGAAUAGCUGACACAUAAACCGAGGACACACGAUAAACCAAAACCAUGCCAUGACGAGCUCAAUAUUUCACCAAAUCAACUUAAGGUUGGAGACAAAGUACUACUAGAUGCGGUAGACCCUCGUAUUGCUACGUCUGAACCUAACGGAGCAAUCCCUCUUACAGUACUCAACAUUUUCCCAUAUGGUACAGUCGAGGUUAUUCAUCCCAAACUCGGCACUUUUAAGGUAAACAGUACUCGUCUUAAACCUUAUUUUGAUAAAAUUGAUAGCAGGGAUGAGGAGUGUGAACUCCUCACAUCACAAUGACCAUGCAACAGAAAGGUAAGUCGAGCUUAGACUAUAAAUAAGCGUUUUUCGGGAGGCAACCCGAGCAUUAAUGAUGUUAACUUUUUUAAAAUUUUAGUUUUUUACAUCUAAUCACUAACUGAGUCAGUGAAACACAGGUUUUCUAAUCUACACGGCCAAGCACACGGACAUGCCUUAGGCCGUGCUCACACCAUGGGAGGAGACACAGCCGUGCGAUACUGCCGUGUGAAAACAGGGUAAAAUUUUUCCUUAACACGGGAUGUGAUAAGUUGCCACGGCCGUGCGAUGUAGCCGUGGGCGAGUCUUUCAAACCAACACAGGCGUGUGACACACCCGUGUCUAUAAACCAUGGUUGAAACUGAGAAUUUAGCACGAGCAUGUCCUAUCAACCGUGCUCAAGACUGAAAAAAGAACACGGGCGUGGACAUCUAUACACGGGCAUUGGAGAAGAGAAUGAAACAGAACAUGGUCGUGUGACACAGACGUGUGCACCAACACGCCCAAAGAGCACGGGCGUGUGAAGAAUUUCAGACACGCCCAAAUUUGAAAAUUACGAUAAACACGAGCUGAAAUAAGGGCACAUGGGGGUGCCCCACGACCGUGUGCCCCAAAAUCUAUAUAAACCCCUUACUAUUCAUCACCCCCUUCCCCAAAAUCUCUAACCCUAGCCGCUGCAACUUCACAUGCCCUACCUGCCACGCCCGUGCACCGUCCACAGCACCACCUUUGACAACCCAAAGCUCCUCCCUCUUACGUUUGUACAUUUUUUUCCUUCUAUUCUCUUCAUUCUUUUACUUAUUUGAUGAUAUUUUAUUUUAUUUUGAGUAAAUAAUCAUAGUUAUAAUGAUAGAAUACUUAUGCUCUUUGUUAAGAAAUUUACCAUUUUAAUUGAUAUAUUUUGCUGCAUUUAUCCACUUUUCUUGUUUCCAUAGAUUUCAUGCUUACCCACACCAUAUUUCAUACUUAUUAAACCCACAUGCAUUCAUUCAAUAGAUAUUUCCAUUAGCAUUACUCUCGUAGUCCUAUUCAUAGUAAUGACUUAAUAUAUCUGAUUGGGUUAUUUUUAGUAUAGUUGUUCUUUAGUACAUGACUUCUAUGAAGUAUCUCUAUUAGUUUUACCAUGCAUAUUUUCUAUGCUAUUGCUGGGGAGUAAUUUUAUUUUUUAUUUUUUCUUGCCAUUGUAGGUAUACUAUCUCAACCUUACGUGGUAAGGAGACCGCCAUCCCCUCUUCGAAGAAAAGGAAAGGAGCAACGUCAUCCUCAGGUCCUACCGCUGAGAUCCGUUACCCUUUCCUCCAGUUUCCCUUUGGACCCCAGGAGGAACUAUUUCAGAUAUUACGGGUCCGACCCUUAGGUGUAGGCCACUGCAUUGACUGGGCUGCACUUAAAAAAAUUCAAAUGGCUGACGUGGUCCAAGCCCUCCUGACGACUACCCGUGGAGGCUUUUCUUUGAGAUCAUCGAGCCGAUGUACCACGAGCUCACAAUGGAACUCUACUCGACCUUCCAUCUUCAAGUCGCCAUGAUAAACUGCGACGAUCCUAGAACGGUCCAAUUCCACCUCAGUGGUCUAGUGCGCCAGUUGAGCGUACCGAAGUUCAGAAUUGCACUAGGGCUGUAUAUGGAAGAGUUCAUGGAUGACAACGAACUUGACACCCUCUAUUGCCACAUCCACUACUCUCUCUCCAAAUGCUGGAAGGACUUUGUCCCUGCCUCGGCCACCUAUGAUCCUAACUACUCUAAGGCAUCAGCCCUCACCCCAUCCCUGUGAUACCUACACGCCAUCUUAGCCCACACUCUGACAGGGCGGCGAGAGAGCACCGGCAUCAUCAACACUCACGACGCCUACUUUUUAUAGAGCAUGGCAAACGGGCACGUCUUCGACCUUGCCUAUUUCAUUGCUCUCGCCAUCCGCCAUCAGACGGAGCGGCAUAGGAGAGGAGUUAUCACCAUUAGCCACUAUGUGACUCGACUGGCACGGCACUUCGGGCUCCUCAACACAGCAGCAUAAUCAUCCUCACUCACUCUCAUUGGUCAUAUGUCCCCUCAAGGCAUCUCGAGUAUGCUACAUAUGAGGAUGCUCGAGAAACGACGUGGAACUUACCCUCCUCAGUACCGCCUCGUCCAGUCCACUAAAGAGGAGAACCCAUAAGACAUUACUGAUGAUGUCCCUCCACGUCAUGAGGACCCACCGUCUCAACCAUCACCCAUCCAUCGUCCAGUUCAUGCGGUGGCUUCAUACUCUGAUAUCUCUAAGCACCUUACUCGAUUUAAGCAGCAGUGUUUUCAGUGCUUUGAUCACAUUGAUGCUACUCUUCAUCAGAUUUGUCAGCACCUUCACAUCUCAUCGCCACCACCACCUCGCGAACCAUCCGGCGAUGCUGAUGUUUAAAGACUUUUUAUUUUUUAUUUUUAUUUCCACUUUUAUCUUUAUUUAUCUUCUUUAAGUAGUUUUUAUUUUAUUUUCCUUUAAUAUUAUUUCAAUUUUAGGUUUUAUAAUUUUUAUUGAAUAAUUUAUAGUUUUGGCUAUUUUAUUACGAGUAAUUAUGCUUCCUUAUAUUUCCUAAAGAGUUCUUGAUUUUAUCACAGUUAUAAAGAGCUCUAAAGCUCAUCAUCACUUAGGAACUAAAAAAUCACUGGAAAAGGUUCUCCACAACUGUCAAGUCCUGCUCGACCACGACCACAGCUACUACCAGAUAUAAUAUUCUGUUGGCGCAGGACUUAUGGACUAAUGAACCUCUACCACCACCGGAGUAUCCUCCUCCACUCUCAUCAUUGCCUUGGCUGAUUAUUCUCCAUAACUCCAAUUGAAGGAGUUCAUUCAUCAUUCAGGAAGUUUAACUUCUCUUCUUAUCUUAUGAGUAUUUAUCUAUAUUUUUCAGUAUAUCUAUCUUUGUACAUUGAGGGCAAUAUACAUCUUAAGUGUAGAGGGUCUUUUAUAUCAUUAUCAGAAAAAUCCCUGAAUUUUAUCUUGUUCUCAAAUCAUCUUCUCAUAUCAUUAUUAGAAUAAAAUUUGAUUAAUUUAUGAUUGUUAUUGAUAUGUCUUCAAUUAAAACAUAGGCAUUCAUGUAUUGAUUGUUUAAACUUUAAGGAAUUAGAUAAUCAAGCAGGAUAAGUUGAUUUUUGAGAAUUAAAAAUUUUUAGGUUGUUUCCCCAAGUUUAGGUAUUAUCUCGAGUUAAAAUUCACAGGGUUAACAUCAACAAGCCAUAAUUUCUGUAAGAUCUUGAGCCUUUAGAGCAACUAUUAUUUCUUUCAUGCUCACUGUUAUUAUUGAUAAUGAGUGUGUCAAUAUUGAUUUAUUAUUCUAGAACUUGCUUGAUUAUGCAUGUCAAGACCACACCCUUGAGUUAAUAUGUCAAUAUGAUAAAGGCACCUAGGUUUAACCCACUCACUCCAUAAAAGCAUACCUUCAUAAUUUACCCUUAGUGAACCCCUUUGAGCCUAACAAGCCAUUAAUUGAUUUACCCUCAAUGUUAACCCAUAACACAUUAUUGUUGAAAUCCCCUAAUUUGAUCCCUAUUUUUGUCGAGAUUUGAUUUGAAUUAUUGCAUAGCUAUGUUUUAUUCUUCGUUGCAAUAAUUAGCAAAGUCCUAUGUUAUUUCACUUGUUUAUUUCACUUGUUCCUAAAAAAAAAUACAAUACUUACUUACAUAUUAAUAGUAAUUCGUCAUUUUUGAGCUUAAGUGUUAAUUCCAUAUUCUAAGAAGAAGCUCACUCGUAUUCAACUUAUAAUUAGUUGUUUUUCUAGUUAGGUGAUUUUUUUAAUUCAAUCUCGAUUCUAACCUUUCCUUUUAGCUUGUGACCACACCCCCUAACCAAAGCCACGUUACAACCCUCUAAAGACCUUUUGAUUGAUGUAUCAUCUCAAUAUAUAGUGGUGGAGAUUUGAUUUUCUGCAAGCCUAUGGUAAUAACUUUUCAUAUUGACUAAUGAGUGCUUCAUUUAUUAUCCUUAAACACCUCGAGUGAUUUGAGUGAAUCUUUAGUGAGGAUGUUAAACUCCGUGAUAUUUUGAAUCAAAGGUAAUCACUUAGAUGAGGGGAGACACCUAUGUUUUCGUGAUGAAAUGCUCAACUUGGAAUGUUUGAAACUUUGAUAUUCUUCUAGUUGAAUUCUCCAUGUAUGAUUACUUAUGAUUUAUUUUAAGAUAUUAUUGAUAGAGAUUAUAGAUUGAGAAGAAUUUAUUUUGAUUGUGAGUUGAGGAUUUUGCUUGAGGACAAGCAAACGCUUAAGUGUGAGAGUUUUUGAUAAACCGCAAUUUAUACAUAUUUUUAUCCCAUGCUUAGCACAUUUAUAUAUGAUUUCUCCUUAGAUUUGGUGAAUUUGAUGCACCAAAUCCUUUAAUUUCAUGUUUUAUACUUAGGUGACCAUAGCAGAGUAAAAAGAGCGAGAAACAGGUCGACAACGGAGAAAAAUAGACCCACAUGGGAAAUCGACACGGCCUGGACUUCCUCACACGGGUAAGCCACACGGCCAUGUCCAUUUGGCAGGAUCGGCGUACAAUUUACACAGGUAGACUACAUGCCCACGAUUAUUUAGCAACCUUCACCACGGUUUGGAGCAAUCGCACACGGGCGUGUCACACAGGCGUGUCCCUGUCGAGCCCAAGUAAAGUCCUAUUCGAAAAAGGCCACUUUUGAUGGCUCUUAGGCAUUCUAAAGCCUAUUUAAACACCUGAGGAGGCAGUUAGAACGGGGGGACACAGAGUAGGAAGCAAUGAAUUACUCGAAAAAAGCCGAUUGAUCCAUCUCAGAAGCUGGAUUAUUCAUCAAGACUGAAGAUCUCUCUUCAAUUUCCAUUCAAGAGUUUUGGGUUUUCUUUAUGUUUUGUAUUCAUUAUUCUUCUAAGGGGAAUGAAACUUAAGACGAAUCUUGUUAUUAUUAUCUAAAUUAUAAGAUAAAUAUUUGACUUGUUCUUAAUUAUGUAUUCUUAAUUCUUGUCUUAAUAUUUCAGGAUAUUGAUUCAGGUUAAUGCGCUUAUUCAGAGGAGCAAAAGUCCCUGUCUAAGAGUAAAUUUGUCAUAAUUAAGUGGAGUUGAUUGCACGCCUAGAGAUAGGGUGACAAGAUUUUACCAGAUUAUGGUGAAACCUAAUAAGGGAUCCAUAGAUCGAGUAAAUGCAACACUAGGGCGUUAAUUACAAAGAGAUUUCAAUUAAUCAACCUAGGGUUAGAUGUUAUUAGUCUCGAGAGAGAUAAUAAUAUAACUUAGGGAUUUCUACGAAUCAAGUUAAAUGAACAAAUCGCCUGAUUCAGAGUCAAAUAACAAGUGAAUCUAGGUGGAUUUUUCCUUGGGUAUUGUCUUUAUUAAUCGAAUUUUCUAAAAAGUAUUUUCCCAAUUUUUAGGCUAGAUAAUAAAAAGAAAGUAAUUACUAGUACUCUUGGUUCCUUUGGGUUCGACAAUUCGGUCUUGUUAAAGCUAUACUACUGUUCGAUAGGUACACUUGCCUUCAUCGUGAUAAUAGUUGGUUUUAAGAACGAUCAUUUAUAAAUUAUUUAAAACUUAUCGCAAAUAUCAUAAAUCAGUAGUCGUUUUACAUGGAUUUAUCUCAUUAAAUGAAUGUCUCAGAUGGUUGACUAUUUUUUUCAGUUUCAAAAAAUGGUCAAAACUCAGUUUGGGAAAGAUAUUAAAAAUUUUCAAAGUGAUUGGGGUGGUGAGUUUCGUGCCUUCGCAUCAACUCUUGCUAUUCAUGGGAUACUUCAUCACCUCUCCCGUCCACAUACAUCCGAGCAGAACGGUAUAGCCAAACCAAAACAUCAAGACAUUGUUGAGAUAGGUCUUACUCUCUUGACCCAAGCUAAUAUGCCCAUGGAUUUCUGGGGUUACGUGUUUUGCAGUGUCGUUUAUCUCAUUAAUCGUCCACCUACCUUGGUUUUGAAAGGUCAAUCUCCGUAUUAAGUUCUUCAUGGUAGUGACCCUACAUAUGAUCAUUUACGGGUGUUUGGGUGUUAUUUCUUUCCAUACUUGCGUCUGUUUCUGCAACAGAACUUGGAUUUUUGUUCUCAGCCUUGCACAUUUUUAGGGUAUAGUUCUCAACAUAAAGGCUAUCACUGCCUCACACCAGAUGGUAAGGCCAUUGUCUCUUAUCAUGUUGUGUUUGAUGAACGUCGAUUUCUCUUUUUUUUUAUGUUGCAAACACCGUCCAGUCAGGUCCAUGUAUCUCUACAUAUGUUCCUAUUGCUCAGUCUUCAUCUGCCGCGCCACGGCAUCCUCGCUUGUUCAGCCCAUUAAGUCCUCUUGACUCUUACUCCUAAUUGUAGUUCCAAGACGUCUAUUUCAGUUGACUCUCCGACUGAAUUGGGUUCUACUCAUGAGGUGCACCGGCUCUUCACCUCAUCUCCUGAAUCACGUCAAUGCGACUCUACUACAAUUCCCUCGGUUAUUCCAUCUAUUUUUCUAGAGAAUACUCAUAACAUGAUUACUCGGUCUAAGGCUAGUAUUUCUAAACCCAAAGCUUUCUCUGUUGAAACUGUCGACUAUGAGCCACACACGAUUGAUGAGGCACUCGCUAGUAAGGAAUGGCAAUUAGUUGUCCAAGCUGAGUUUGUUGCUCUAAUGGCUAACUCUACCUGGGAGCUUGUUCCCUUACUUCAUUGUCGAAAAGUGAUUGGGUGUAAGUGGCUUUUUAAAAUAAAAAAAAUCCUGAUGGGGCUAUCACUUGGCACAAGGCUCAGCUGGUAGCAAUGGGUUGUUCUUAGGUACCUGGGUGUGAUUUCAAAGAAACCUUUAGUCUAAUGGUUACACCUACUACUAUUAGAAAAAUAUUGUCUAUUUCUGUUUCCAAUGGGUGAAAACUUCGUCAAAUCGAUGUGAAUAAUACCUUUUAAGAUGGUGAUCUCACUGACGAAGUGUUUAUGCAACAACCUUCAGGCUAUGUUCAGAUUGGUCCAUAUCGUGAGCUAUUGGUGUGUCGUCUGAAAAAGGAGUUGUAUGGAUUACGACAAGCUCCACGUGCCUGGUUUGAUAAAUUGAAACAUUUUUUCUACCAGAUUUGUGUUAUCCAAAUCUGAUGCAUCCCUGUUUGUUCGAGUUACGUACGUAUCCACUAUUUAUGUUCUAAUCUAUGUGGAUGAUAUUACCGUUACUGAAAGUACGACUGACGGUAUAAAUGACUUUAUUCAACAGUUACAUAAUAAGUUUUCCCUUAAAGAUAUGGGAGAUCUUCACUACUUCUUAGGUAUUCAAGUCACUCGGUCAUCCACUAGAAGUCUUCAUUUGUGCCAACGCAAAUACAUCUAGGAUCUGCUUGACAGGAGUUCCUGGGCUAACGUGAAAAGUGUUCACACACUGAUGGUUAGUUCUUUUACAUUGUCUAAAGAUGAGAAAAAUCACCUCGUUGAUCCCACUAAAUAUAGGAGCCUUGCCGGAGCAUUACAAUAUGUGGUCUUAACUCGGCCUAAUAUUGCUUAUGCGGUAAAUCGUGUUUGUCAAUUCAUGCAUAUGCCUACUACGGUACAUUUGGUGGCUUUGAAAAUAAUCUUGCGCUAUUUACGUGGCACUAUUGAUCAUGGGUUAAUUUUUCGUCCGUUCGACAGAUUGUCUUUAGUUGGCUAUGCUGAUUCCAACUGGGGACUGGAUUUUGAUGAUCGUCAGUCAACCAUAGACUAUUGUGUGUAUUUUGGACAUACAUCCAUCUUUUUGUGUUCUAUGAACCAACAAGUUAUUUUUCACUCCACGGCUGAUGCGAAGUAUCGUAGUCUAGCAGUAGCUACCAGUGAUGUUACUUGGUUAGCCUCUCUGUUAACGAAUUUAAAAAUUUGUUCUGCAAAUCCACUUACUAUUUGGUGUGACAAAUCUAGUGCAAUAGUGGUUGCUGCUAAUCCGGUUUUACACUCCAAAUUUAAACAUGGCGAGCUUGAUCUAUUUUUUGUUCGCGAAAAUGUCACUAAUGGUUCUCUCAUUGUUGGCGAAGUUCCGGCAUGUGAUCAGGUUGCUAGUAUUCUCACAAAACCAUUGUCCAUCUCUACUUUUGCUAGGUUUCAUAGUCUGCCUCAAGUCUUACCUCUUGAGAAGCUGGAUGAAGCCGGGUGAAUAUUAGAGUAUAGACUCUAUUAGUCUGUUACCAUUUUGUUAUACAGGCUAGAAUAUUGUUAGUAACCAGUUAGCAGCAAUUAGUCAUAGCAGUUAGUCAUACAAGUAUAAAUUCUAUUUAUGUAUAGUUCAAAGGUAAGCUAAUAAUACCAGAAGAGAUUUAACGUGUUCAUUCUACUUUCUUUGUUAUUCUUCAUAAUACAGUUGUUAACAGGCUUGAUAUCAUCUCUUAGAGAAAACUAGGAGAGAUAAGAGUAAGAGUAUGAGCAAACUAUGGAUAAGGCUCUACCAUAAUACCUUAGAUGCAGUUAAAGUAAGAGUAAGAGCCAACUUGUUUGGCUUGAUAGCAUCCCCUUAUAGAAAAAGCUCUACCGCAUGGCAUUAGAGCAAUAAAAGUAACACUUAAUUUCUUGGUUGAUAGCAUCUCGUAGGGGAAAAAGGUUUACCAUGUGACAUGAAAGUAAUUAAAGUAAGAUUAAGAGCUAACUUGUUUGUCUUAAUCGCAUUGUUUAAGAGAGAUCCAAAUAAAUUUACUCAAAAUAUGUUAAUCAAAUAAUGCAAAUUACAAUGUUUUGUCAAUUUUUCCUUUAAUUGUAACUGGGUUAAAGUUGGUAGUUGUAACUGGUACUAAUAGAAUAGAUUUGGUAGAAAUGGUUGAAAGCAACAUAAGCAAAGAUGACUUUGAUGUCAUUGUAUUGACCACGUGGGAACUAUAGAAUGUAGAGAAUAGUAUGGUGAUUGGCAUCAGAAUGUUGCUAACUUUGAGGACAGUAGAUAAGGAUGGAUCCAAAGGGGCUGUGGGCGGCCCCCUUGAAAUUUUCAAAUUUUUGAAUUUAUAUAUAAAUUAUCAUGUAUUUUAGAUUUGGUGUCCACAUUGUAUAACAUUCACCCCCUUUGCCAAAUUGUAUUUCAUAUCAUUCGCCCCCUUAAACCAUAAGGUUAUACUUUAUAUUAACAAAGUAUUUUCCAUUUUUUUUAAUUAUAUAAAUUUAAUAAUAACAAUAAUAAUAAAAUAUUAAUGUAUGAUAGGCAUUGAAAGACUAAACUUAUAGGUCCAAUUUGGACUUUAAAGCCAAAUUCUAUAAUUAAUUAAUUGAUUUGGCUCAUACCUAUACAUAUUAGGUUAGCGACUUUCUUGUAUUUUGAUUUGUAUGUCUUCUUAAGGAAUUAUCUUCCUUUGGUAAAGUGUUGACACUACCAAGAGAAAAAGAAAGGAUUUUGAUGACGAGACUAAGAGUAUAGAGCAAAAAUAUACAAAUUAUCUUCCUCUUGGCUCCUUAUGCAAAAAACCUCUCGGUAAAUUUUUUGCAUAAAUUAUGUUCUUUAUUUAUUUGACUUAUUUUUUUUAUUUUUUCCUAAUAUAUUUUGUUUAAUAUAUUAUUAAAAUCAUCAGGUUUUUCGAUUAAAUAAUGGUCAAUAAAAAGAUCGAAUCUAUUUUUUUAAAAAAAAGGUGUCAGAAAGCAAUAGUGAUCAACCAGUUCCUUAACCUUCUGUUAUUCGUGAAGAAAAACCAAAUAUUGGAUAUUCCCAAGCUCCUGAAUGAAAUAUUAGGUCUUAUCAAGCCCAAACUUUUGAAUGCGAUAUGGAGUCUUCCCCAGUUCUUAAACUAGAUUGUUACACUCCUUACCUGAUCCGAUCACCAAAUCCAUGUAGAGAGUACCACAACUUAAACCAUAUGAAUUGAAUAAUAAAUAUUUGAAAUUUAUUAAAGUAUCGAGUUCUUGGUGUAACCCUCAGUAUAAUAAUAUGAAACAAUCAAAUCAAUGAUACGCCAGGAACAAACAUUUUUAGGAAAAACACAUGGCGGAAACCUUACAAAAGUUUAUAAGUUUAUAUGAAAUGUAAGAUGAGUUAAUCCCAUACAAUAGUUUCAAGUGCAUUUUUGGCAGUUAAAACAACACUCUAAAACUAUUUGGUGUAGAUGCCAAUGAGACAAUCAUGUGGAAUAAGAUAUAGUAGCAUAAACACAUACAUCACUUACCAUGUCAUUAUAACAUAUACUAACCACAUAAACAAAUUUCUCGAGCUGCGAACGAACAAGUUUACCCAAACAUCUGGGGUUGGUAGAUAGCUUAUCAGAAAAGCCCUCCAAAUCCUAGAGUUCACCAAAACCUGGAGUUCGCCAAAUAGAGAUUCCCAUAGAAUACGCCAAACACACAACCAAAAAACAAAUACUCUACUAACUUACUUAUUUUUUAUUCUUAGCAUAAACAACUAUGCGCCAAAAAGUAACUUGAUACAUUAUCCAUCAGGCGGGUUGUUACAAUUCUCCCUCACUUAGAAAAUUUUGUCCUCAAAAUUCUUAACGGUGAAUAACUGAGGAUAUUGUUCUUUUAUUGAACUCUCUCUUUCCCAAGUGGAUUCUUUUUUAUUGUGAUUUCUCCAUAAUACAUUAACAAAAGGAAUUCUUUUUCUUCUCAACUUUUUUACCUCCCUUGCUAAUGCGAACAGGUUCUUCUUCAUAGGAUAUGUUUGGCUCCUUUUCUAAUGCUUUGACUUGUACCACAUGAUCUGGUUUGGAUUGAUAUUUUCUUAACACGAACACAUUAAUCACAUUGUGUAUCUUUGAUAACUCUAGUGGCAACACCAAUCUGUAUGCCACUGGACCAACCAGUUCCAAAAUCUCAUAUGGUCCUACGAAAUGCAGACUUAAUUUCCCUUUUUAUUCUAACCUUAUGAUAUUCUUCCAAAGAGAAAACUUCAUAAAUACAUUGUCACCCACUUCGAAAGAGAUUUCUUUCCUUUUUAGAUCAACAUAAGCUUUCUGACGAUCUUAAGUUACUUUCAGAUGAUUUCAAAUAAUAGAGACUUUCUCUUCUGUUUCUUGUACUAAAUCAAAACCAACUAUUUUCCUUUCACUGAGUUCCAUCCAACAGGUGGGAGAUCUACGCUUUCUUCCAUACAAAGCUUCAAAUGGUGAUAUUUCUAGAUUGGCGUGAUGACUAUAAUUAUACACAAACUUUGGCAAAGAAAGAUAUCUUUCUCAAUUCAUUCUGAAAUCUAUAAUACAACUUCUGAGCAUGUCUUCCAAAACUUGAAUUACUCUUUCAAAUUGUUCACCUGAUUAGGGAUGAAAGGCAGUACUGAAUCAUAUCUUGGUUCCUAACGAUUCUUGUUGUUGUCUUCAAAAUCUUGAUGUAAACAUUAGGUCUCGAUCUAAAACUACGGAUGUUGGAAUCCCAUGAAGACAUACAACUUCAGAAACGCAGAGCUUAGCCAACUUUUCCAAUGAGUAAUUUGUGCGGGCAAACAAGAAAUAGACUGACUUAGUAAGUCGAUCUACAAUUGCGCAAACUGAAUUCUUCUUUGAAAGGCUGAAAGGGAGAGCCAAAACAAAAUCCAUGGUGAUGUUAUCCCACUUCCACUUAGGUAUCUCUAAAGGGUACAACUUGCCUAAGGGAACCUGAUGUUCUGUUUUAAUCCGCUGACAUGUCAAAGAAAUGGAGAUGUACUCUGUUAUUUCUUUCUUCAUUCCAGGUCACCAAUACAAACUUCUCAAAUUACGAUACAUUUUAUGUAAUGCUCUCAACCCGACUCGAUAUGUCGAGUUUGGAUCUCGGGUAUUACUAUACACAGUACUUAGUAAAAUAUCAAAAUAGCUGACAAAUACUCUUUACUAAAAACAUUUUCUUAUUAUUUUAACCGAAAGAGUAAAUAUUUAAUAACAAGGGUAAAUAUUAGAAAUAAAAUAAAUUAUUACAUCAGACUUGGUACAACUGAUUAUAGUAUAAAAUUUUGUUAAAGACAGACUCUUGGGGAAUAACCCUAAUCUAUGCCACUUUUCCACUAUAUACAUAAUAACCCACUUCAGCACUAUCUUGGCAUACUCCUAGCAUCGUCACUCCUAACGCAUUCUCUACCCAUACACCUAAAAACAACAACAUUAUAAGCUCAAGAGAACUUAGUGAAUUUUAUCCCAAAAAUACCUUGGCGAGUACUUUAAUUAUUUGACUAACAUCUGUGCGCCAUCUAUCUUUUUAAACCACCUUCUUCUGAAUCAGACGGAUACUAUUACAGAUUCGACUUUCACUUAUACGCCAGCUAUCAUACUCUUAACACACUCACUUAUUCUAGAACAGUUUUUCACAUAUAUUAAUCAUUGACAGAUACAUACAUUUUUGGUGAAUACUUACGCAGAUCUAAAUACCAUCAAACUACUAAUCAAAUCAUACAUUGAUUCGAUACCAUACAAACUCCCAUUGAUAAUGUACUACACAAUUUAUUCAAAUGAAUUUUCCACUACUUUGUUACAGGACCCCAGAAAAUCAUCAUAACAAUAACUCAAUUUCCAUAUGAUUUCAAAAAAGGAUAUAAUACAACCCAAAUAUGGCGAAUUCCAGACAACUCAGAUUCAACAACUGUAUAACAUAGACAAAAUCACAUUGAUAAUUUCUUAUGUCCCAAAUAACUAUGAAUACGUCCAUAUUCAAUACUAACAGAUAAUCAUGACGGAUACCCUUCUUAUACAUAUAUGCAUUUCUUUUCUAAAAAUCUCUUAAGACUUACUCAGUUAUAUCACAGAUCUUAUUCAACCUUUAACUUCAGACGUAUCAUAAACCUAUCAGAUCAAUAUCUGUCACAAAGAAAUUGGCAUUUACCCAGAUUUUACAAUAAAGGCAGAUAAUCAUAUUAUAGUAGACAAACUUAACUGAAAGUGCUACAAAGGCCAAACAAAAUAUGCCAUAAAGGCUUCAUACAAAAUCAUGUGUUUACUAUCUCGACGGAUGAUACAUGAUAUUCGUGACAGGUUUUAAAAAUUUAUAAUUAAUCGUUCUUUAAAUUAACUAUUAUCACGAUGAAGGCAAGUGUACCUCUCGAACAGUAAUAUAGCUUUAGCAAGACCGGAUGGUCGAACCCAAAGGAACCAAGAGUACUAGUAAUUGCUUUCUUUUUAUUAUCUAGCCUAAAAAUUAAGGGAUUUAUUUAUCUAAUUAAUUAACUAAACUAAGGGUGCACAGAAAGAAAAUUGGGGAAAAGCUUUUGGGAAAACUCGAUUGAUUAAGACAAUACCCAAGAAAAAAUCCACCUAGACUUCACUUAUUAUUUGACUCUAAAUCAGACGAUUUAUUCAUUUGACUUGAUCCGUAGAAAUCCCUAAGUUAUAUUAUUAUCUCUCUUGAGACUAAUAACGUCUAACCCUAGGCUGAUAAUUGAAAUCUCUUUCUAAUUAACACUCUAGUGUUGCAUUAACUCGAUCUAUGGACUCCCUUAUUAGGUUUCACCCUAAUCCAGUAAAAUCUUGUCACCCUAUCUCUAGGCGUGCAAUCAACUCCGCUUAAUUAUGAAAAAUUUACUCUUAGAUAAGGACUUUUGCUCCUCUAAAUAAGCACAUUAACUUGAAUCAAUAUCUUGGAAUACUAAAACAAGAAUUAAGAACACAUAAUUAAGAACAAGUCAAAUAUUUAUCAUACAAUUCAGAAAAUAAUAACAAGAUCCGUCUUAGGUUUCAUUCCCCUUAGGUAUUUUGAGGUUUUAGUUCAUAAUUAUGAAAGAAAACAUCUCAAAAGAAUAAUGAUAACAAAACAUAAAGAAAACCCAAAACUCCUGAAGGAAAUUGAAGGGAGAUCCUCAGUCUUGACGAUGAAUCCGGCUUUUGAAAUGGAUCAAUCGGCUUUCCUUGAGUAAUUCAUUGCCUCCUACUCCCUAUGUAUCUUCUAAGUGCCUCCUCAGGUGUUUAAAUAGGCUUUAUAAUGUCUAAAAGCCCUCAAGAGUGGCCUUUUCUGAAUAGGACUGAACUUGGGCUCGAUAGGGACACGCCCGUGUGACACGCUCGUGUGCAAUUGCUUCAGACCGUAGUCAAGGCUACUAAAUAGGCAUGGGCGUGUGGUCUACCCGUGUGAGGAAGUCCAGGCCGUGUUGAUUUCUGAUGUUGGUCCAUUUUCUUCAUUUUCAGCCCGUUUCUCGCUCUUUUUACUCUCUUAUGCUCACCAAAGUAUAAAACAUGAAAUUAAAGGAUUAGGAGCAUCGAAUUCACCAAAUCUAAGGAGAAUUCAUCCAAAAAUAUGCUAAGCAUGAGGUAAAAAUAUGUAUAAAUUAUGGUUUAUUAAAUACCCCCACACUUAAGCGUUUGCUUGUCCUCUAGCAAAAUCCUCAACUCAAAAUCAAAAUAAAUUCUUCUUAACUUGUAACCCCUAUCAAUAAUAUCUCAAAAUAAACCAUAAGUAAUCAUGUAUUGAGAAUUCAACUAGAAAAGCAUUAAAGUCUCAAACAUUCCAAGUCGAGCAUUUUAUCACGAAAACAUAGGUGUUUCCCCUCAUCUAAGUGAUUACCUUUGAUUCAAAAUAUCACAAAGUUUUAACAUCCUCACUAAAGAUUCACUCAAAUCACUCGAGGUGUUUAAGGAUAAUAAAUGAAGCACUCAUUAGUCAAUAUGAAAAGUUAUUACCAAAGGCUUGUAUGAAAGUCAAAUCUCCACCACUAUAAAUUGAGAUGAUACAUCAAUCAAAAGGUCUUUAGAGGGUUGUAAAGUGGCUUUUGUUAGGGGGUGUAGUCACAAGCUGAAAGAAAGGUUAGAAUCAAGAUUGAAUUGAAAAAUUACCUAACUAGAAAAAUAACUAGUCAUUACUUGAAUACAUGUAAACUUCUUCUCAAAAUAUGAAAUUGAACACUUAAGCUCGAAAACAACGAAUUACUACUAAUAUAUGUAUGUAUUAUAAUUUUUUUUAAGAACAAGUCAAAUAAUAUAGGUUAAUUAUCAAAAAUAAAACAUAGCUAAGUAAUUUAUUCAAAUUAAAUCUCGACAAAAAUUGGGAUCAACUUGAUUGAGGGGAUUUCAACAGUAAUAGGUUAUAGGUUAAUAUUGAGGGUAAAUCAAUGGAUAGUUUGUUAGGCUCAAAGGGGUUCACUAAGGACAAAUUAUGAAGGUAGGCUUUUGUGGAGUGAGUGGGUUAAACCUAAGUGCCUUUAUCAUCUCGACAUAUUAAAUCAAAUGGUGUGGUCUUGACAUGCAUAAUCAAGCAAGUUCUAGAAUAACAAAUCAAUACUGACGCACUCAUAAUAAAAGUGAGCAUGAAAGAAAUAAAAUAUGAUCUAAAAGCUUAAAAUCUCACAAAAAAUUAUGGCUUUUUGAUGUUGAACCUGUGAAUUUCAACUCAAGAUAAUACCUAAACUUGGGGAAACAACCUAAAAAUUUUAAAUACUCAAAAAUCAACUUAUCAUGUCUGAUUUUCUAAUUCCUUCAAAGUUUAAACGGUCAAUGCAUAAAUACCUAUGUUUUAAUUCAAGACAUAUCAAUAAAAAUCAUAAAUUAAUCAAAAUUCAUUCUAAUAAUGAUAUGAGAAGAUUAUUUGAGAACAAGACAAAAUUUAAGGAUUUUUUUGAUAAUGAUAUAAAGGCCCCCCACACUUAAGAUGUACAUUGCCCUCAAUGUACAAAGUUAGAUUUACAACGAUAUAGAUAUAAGAUCAUAAGAUAGGGAGAGAAGUGAAACUUCCUGAAUAAUGAAUGAACUCCUUGAAUUGGAGUUAUGGAGAAUAAUCGGCAAAGGCAAUGAUAAGAUUGGAGGAGGAUACUUCGGUGGUGGUAGAGGUUGGGUUCCACAACCUCAGUGUCCAGCGAAGAAGUUAUCGUGGUGGUCGAGCAAGACAUUACAGUUAUGGAGAACCUUUUCCAGUGGAGUUUCAAGUUUCUAAGUGAUGGUGAGCUUUGGGGCUCUUAGUAACUGUGAUAAAAUCAAGAACUCUUUAAGAAAUGUAAGGAAGCAUAAUUACACGUAAUGAAAUAGCUGAAACUAUAAAUUAUUCAAUAAAAAUUAUAAAACCUAAAAAUGAAAUAAUAUUAAAGGAAAAUAAAAUAAAAAGUACUUAAAAAUGUAAAUAAAAAUAAAAUAUAAAAAGUUUUUAAACAUCGUCAUCGCUGGAUGGUUCGCAAGGUGGUGGUGGUGAUGAGAUGUGAAGGUGCUGACAAAUCUGAUGUAGAGUAGCAUCAAUGUUAUCAAAGCGCUGAAAACACUAUUGCUCAAAUCAAUAAGGCACUCAGAGAUGUCAGAGUAUGAAAUCGCCGCAUGAACUGGACGAUAGAUGGGUUGUGGCUGAAAUGGUGGGUCCUCAUGACGUGGAGGGACAUCAUUAGUAAUUCCUCCGGGUCCUCCUCCUCGGCUGACUGGAUGAGGCGGUACUGAGCAGAAUCGAUUCCAUGUCAUUUCUCGAUCAUCCUCAUAUGUAGCAUGCUUGAAAUACCCUGUGGGGACAUCUGGCCGAUGAGAGUGAGCGAGAAUGAUUGUGCCACUGUGUUAAAGAGUCCAAAGUGCCGAAUCAAUCGAGUCACAUAGGGGCCAAUAGAGAUGACUCCCUUCCUAUGCCGUUCCGUCUGAUGGCGAAUGGCGAAGGCAAUGAAAUAGGCGAGGUCGAAGAUGUGCCCAUUCGCCAUGCUCCAUAAAAAGUAGGCAUCGUGAGUGUUGACAAUGCCGGUGCUCUCUUGUCUUCCUGUCAGAGUGUGGGCCAAGAGGGCGUGUAGGUACCUCAAGGAUGGAGGGAGAGUUGAUGUUUUGGAACGGUUAGGGUCGUAGGUGGCCGAGGGAGGGACGAGGGCCUCCAGCACUUCGAGUGAGAGUAAUGGAUGUGGCGAUGAAGGAUGUCGAGUUCGUUGUAGUCCAUGAACUCCUCCGUAUACAGCCCUAGUACAAUUUUGAACUCCGGUACGCUCAAUUGGCACACUAAACCACCAAGACGAAACUGGACCGUUGUAGGAUCGUCGAACUCUGUCAUAACGGUUUGGAAGUGAAAGGUCGAAUAGAGUUCCAGUGUGAGCUUAAGGUAUAUCGGCUUGAUGAUCCCAAAGAAGAGCUCCCAUGGAUCAGUCGACAGAAGGGCUCUGACCGCGUCAACCAGUUGGACUUGUUCAAGUGCGGCCCAUUCAAUGCAGCGGCCCACACCUAAGGGUCAGGCCCGAAGUAUCUAAAAGAGUUCUUCCUAAGGUCCUAAGGGAAACUAAAUAAAGGGGUGCCUGAUCUCCACGGUAGGACCCAAGGAUGACACUGCUCAUUUCCUUUUCUUUGAAGCGGGGACAGCGAUUUUCUUACCAUGGUUUGACAUGAUAUCUGCAAUGGCAAGACGAAAAAAAUAAUAAAUAAAAAAGUAAACUUACUCUCCAACAAUAACAUGAAAAAACAUAUGCAAUGCAUGUUAAAACUAAUAGAGAUACUUUAUAGGAGUCAUGUACUAAAGAACAACUACGCUGAAAAAUAACCCAAUCAGAUAUAUUAAGUCAUUACUACGAAUAGGAAUAUGAUAAUAAUGCCUAGUGAAUGAAUGCAUAUGGAAAUGAUGAUAUGGAAAAUAGAAUGAAGUCCAUGGCAACACAAGAAUGGUGGUAUCAUAAUGCAUCAACUAAGAUAGCAAGAAACAAAGAGCAUAAGCAAGGCUAUUAUUAGAACUAUGAAGAUUAACAGUCAAAAUAAAACAAGAAAAAUCGAAUUCAUAAACGAAAUGAAGAGAAAAGAAUGGACAAACGCAAAAGCUUGGUAGAGGGAGGAGCUUGGGCCGUCGUUAGUGGUGUUGUGGUUGGCGCACGGGCGUGGCAGGAAGGCGUGGGCAAGAGUUACGGCGGCUACAGUUAGGGAUUUUGGGGAAGGGGAUGAUGAAUAUAAGGGGUUUAUUCAACUCGUGUUUAUCGCGAUUUUUAAAUUUGGGCACGUCUGAAAUUCGUCCCACGCCGAUGUCCUUUGGGCGUGUUGGUGCACAUGGCCGUGUCGUACGGUCGUGUCCUACUUCGUUCACUUCUCCCACGCUCGUGUGUAUAAGCACACGCCCGUGUUGUUUGAUCAGUCUUGAGCACGGUUGGUGGGCACGGGCGUGUCGCACACUUGUGCUAAAUUCUCAGUUUCAACCACGAUUUCAAGACACGGGCGUGUCACACGCCCGUGUUGAUUUGAAAGACUCACCCACGGCCACGUUACACAGCCGUGGCAACUUAUCACAUCUCGUGUUAAGCAAAAAUUUUUCCCUGUUUCCACACGGUCGUGUCGCAAGGCCGUGUCUCCUCCCGUAGUGUGAGCACGGCCUAAGGCACACCUGUGUGCCUCACCGUGUGAAUUAGAAAACCAGUAUUUCAAUGACUCAGUUAGUGAUUAGAUGUUAAAAACUAAAAUUUUAAAGAAGGUAACACUAUUAGUGCUCGGGUUACCUCGCGAAAAGCAUUUAUUUAUAGUCUAAGCUCGACUUACCUCUCUGUUGCAUAGUCAUGGUAGUGCAAGGAGUUUACACUCCUCAUCCCUGCUAUCAAUUUUAUCAAAAUAAGGUUUUAGACAAGUACUAUUUACCUUAAACGUACCGAAUUUGGGAUGAAUUACCUCGACUGUGCCGUAUGGGAAAAUACUAAGUACCGUAAGAGGGAUUUCUCCAUUAGGUUCAAAGGUGGCAAUCCGAAGGUCUGCUGCAUCUAAUAGUACUUUGUUUCCAACCUUAAGUUGAGUUGGAGAAAUAUUGAGCUCGUCAUGGCAUGGUUUUUUUUAUCGUGUGAUUUCGAUUUCUGUGUCUGCCAUUCAUCUAGUUCCUCAACCUGUAGCCUUGUUCUUCAUAGAUGGGUUCUUUGUCGUUAUUUGAAUGUGGCUCAAGUGUGUUUCUCGAAUGUGUUUCCUGCACAGAGGGUUUCACCACAUGAUCAGUACUGAUAGAAUUUCGAGCUUGAGGAGUAAUUGAUUCAUCACCCAUACGAAGUGUGAGUUUACUUGUGCCAACAUCAAUUAUAGUUUUAGCAGUUGCUAGAAAGGACCGUCUUAAAAUUAAAGGUGCGUCGCUAUCCUCUUCUAUGUCUAGAACAACAAAAUCAAUUGGGAAAAUAAAUUUAUCGAUUUUUACCAAUACAUCUUCAAUGAUACCCCUGGGAAAUCUAAUAGUUUUAUCAGCUAACUGAAUACUCAUCCUAGUUUGUUUAGGUUUCCCAAUACCUAGUUGUUUAAACAUUUUAUAAGGCAUGAAAUUGAUACUAGCCCCUAAAUCAGCCAAAGCGUUAUUAACAUCUAAGCUACCAAUUAAAUAAGGAAUCGUAAAACUCCUUGGAUCUUUCAAUUUGUUGGCCAUGAUGUCUCGUUGAGAGCACCAAAAAUAUCCUAUUCUCUGUAAAAUAGUAAAAAUAACAGUAAAAGGGAAGUAGGGUCGAAUCCUCAGGGACCGGAUUGUACAAAUGCUCGUUUCUUGAAAUCCUGGACAAUUUCUUGGCCAAGAAAACCUGCGUUCCUGAAAAAUAAAAAAAAUAAAAUUAAGAAUCUGGAAAAAAAAAUAGAAUUUAAAGGGAAUUGAAAUUGCGAAAUUAAAUAAAUUGUCGAAAUUAAAAUGAGGAAAAAUAAAUAGAGUUGGGAAAAGAGAAAGUUUCUUAUGUGGCGAGAUUCCAGGCUCCGGUUGUCUCGUUCCGCCUUGGGUUCAAUCCUUGGCCUUUAAGUAACCCUUCCCAACUCAAGUAAGCCAGUUAUAGUGGAAGAGGAUGCCUACGACCACCAGCUCCAAAGAUUAGACUUACGAUUUUUAGGGAACCUGACUCUAACCAGUAAUCUAUGCUAGAUCAACGCUUCUCAAUGGCGAAUCCCAAGUCAUUUUGUCUCUUUGGCUCGCCAACCUUUGACGCAGUAAAUUAACAAACCGACUGUGCAAUCCUUUCAAAACAUACAAAGCGGUCGCCUUUGCAUAUGCUGAAAAGCUUACUUCUUAAGGGCCAUGGACGGAAGCGUCAGCCCGUAGUGCGGAGAAACGAUGAAUACUUGGCGAGAAGGCUAAGUACGGGUUCUAGGCCUCAAAAACCCUUUUUUGGGGAAUAUUGACAACCUUCAGCUAGAUAGGUUUUAAUGGCUCAUGAUAAUGGUGGAAAAGGAAAUAAAUAUAAAAAUAGAAAAUAAAAUUUUAUUCAAAGAAAAUAUGAAGAAACAAAAGCCUAGACUUUUAGGGGGAGAGUGUUUAUAGAAAAAGAUGAACACCCCAAAUAGAGUCACUUCACCCCCUAUUUAUAGUGCUAGGGAGAUAAUCUAAUUUAACUUAAAUUCUAAAAAGAUAAAUACAUUUAAUUAAAGAUAAUUAAAAUAAAAUCCUAAAAUUAAAUAAUCCUAAUAAUUAUCUUAAUAAUAAUUAUUCUAAUAUAAAUAAAAUGGAGUCUUAUAAAAUAAAAUCUCUUCUUUUUGAGUUUUCAGUCCUUGUGUCAUCCAUGCUCGCACUUUUGGAACAAUCUUUUUCCUGUGUCGCAUAUCAGCCCAUUGUGUCUCCAAAUUCGCACUUUUGUCCCUUAAUUUUUCUUUUUGCCUCCAAAUCAGUCCUUUAAAGAUAAAAAGACAUAAAUAGCUAAAAUUAGUAUGAUCAAGCUCAGAAUAAAUAUAUAAUUAGCACAUAAAAACAUGACAUUCUAGAGUGUUAUCAGGCCAGCUUAUUUUGCAGAAUGGCUGAGCAAACUGCAUUCAUCUCCACAUGCGAUGCCUCAUCUAACUUCCGUUUAUUCGCUAAAAGCUCCUUUAAAAAUUUGACUGUGUUCAGCAUCUACGAAAAAGCUUCAAUAAACGGUAAGUUAAUAUGUAAUUUCUUUAAAAUUUUAAGGAAUUUACCGAAUUGUUCGUCUGAGUGGUCUUUCCUUGUCGUAUUUGGGUAUAGUACACGUGGUUUGUACUCUUUACUUACCUGUUUUUGCUCAUUAUGGUCCACCUUACCUCUACCUUUACUUACCACAAUUUCUUGCCUUAGUUCUGGUUGAGGUGCAACUAACCCUUCCUCAUCUUGAAUGGUAAUCGCAUUGAGCUAUUCCCUUGGAUUAGAUUUAGUGUUACUCAACAGGCUACCUUGUGGUCGUUCAGAUACCAAUUUAGCAAGCUGGCUUAUCUGAGUUUUGAGCCCUUGAAUCGACACUUGUUGAUUCUUAAGUGCUUUCUUGGUAUUCUAAAAACAAGUUUCUAACACUGAGAUGAAUUUUGUUAGCAUCUCCUCAAGGUUCAGCUUUUUCUCUUGUUGGUAAGGUGGUUGUUGGAAGCCUGGAGGUGGUGGGGGUCUCUGAUUUCCUUGGCCUCCCCAUGAAAAAUUUGGAUGGUUCCUCCAACCUGCAUUUUAAGUGUUACUAUAAGGAUUAUUUUAAGAUCGAGGAUUAUUACCCAUGUAAUUCAACUGCUCAUUUUCCAUACUGUGGCCAUAAGGUGGGUAUUCUGAAUUGCUUGAUCCACCUCUACUUGCUUCGCACUGCAUUACUAGGUGAACCUGUGAAUAACCAAAUAACCCGUCAAUUUUCUUAUUUAAUAGUUCUACCUGACUAGAGAGCAUCAUGACUAAAUCAACGUUAAAAACGUCAGUUGUUUUAGUCGGCUUUGUCCUCAUUACUUGCCACUGAUAAUUAUUCAGUGAGAUCUCUUCUAUAAAUUCAUAAGCAUCUUCAGAUGUCCUAUUAUUGAUAGUCCCACCAGCGGAUGCAUCGAUAAGUUGCCUUGUUGAGGGGUUUACACCGUUGUAAAACGUCUGAACUUGCUGCCAUAGAGGCAACCCAUGAUGAGGGCACCUUCUCAACAGAUCUUUGUAUCUCUCCCAUGCAUCAUAAAGCGUUUUUAGAUUCAUCUGCAUAAAAGAAGAGAUAUCACUACGUAAUUUAGUCAUUUUAGCCGACGGAAAAUAUUUUAAUAAGAAUUUUUUAUUGUCAUUUGUUCCCAAGUAGUGAUUGACACUCGUGGUAACGAGUUCAACCACUGUUUAGAUUUGUUCCUCAAUGAAAAGGGAAAUAACCGAAGACGAAUGGAAUCAUCAGAAAUGCCAUUAAUUUUAAAUGUGUCGCAAAACUCUAGAAAAUUUGCCAAGUGAUUGUUCCUCAUCCUGCAAACUAUCAAACUAAACAAAUUGUUGUAUCAUUUGAAUUGUGUUAGGUUUUAGUUCAAAAUUAUUUGCAGCAACAGCUGGCCUAACUAUACUUGACUCAGUUCCUCUUAAAGUAGGUUUAGCAUAAUCAUACAUAGUACGCGGAGUAGGAUUCUGAUUAGCAGCAAUCGCAAGAGGUAGCGGAUUUUCCUGAUUUUCAGUCAUCUCCUCAGUUGUGGUGGAAAUAUCGUCCUCUUGCUCUUUCUCUGUGUAUCUUAGGCUUUGCCUUAUUUCUCUUCGAUUUCUGUGAGCUGUGCGAUCGAUCUCACUAUCAAAAAGUAAUGGUCCUGACGGGUUUCUUCUAGUCAUGCACUAUAAAAACUUGCCAUAAGCGAAUAAACGAAAAAUAAGAAUAAGAAAAUAAAAUAAAAAUUCAAAUUGCAACAAAAGUAAAAUGGCUAAAGUAAUAAAAAUUGAGUGUUCCUAAUAUCUUCGUUCCCCGGCAACAGCGCCAAAAACUUGAUACGUGAUAUUCGCGACAGGUUUUAAAAAUUUAUAAUUAAUCAUUCUUGAAACUAACUAUUAUCACGAUGAAGCCAAAUGUACCUAUCGAACAGCAAUAUAGCUUUAGCAAGACCGGAUUGUCAAACCUAAAGGAACCAAGAGUAUUAGUAAUUGCUUUCUUUUUAUUAUCUAGCCUAAAAAUUAAGGGAUUUGUUUAUCUAACUAAUUAACUAAACUAAGGGUGCACAGAAAGAAAAUUGGGGAAAAGCUUUUGGGAAAACUCAAUUGAUUAAGACAAUACCCAAGGAAAAAUCCACCUAGACUUCACUUGUUAUUUGACUCUGAAUCAGACGAUUUAUUCAUUUGACUUGAUCCGUAGAAAUCCCUAAGUUAUAUUAUUAUCUCUCUCGAGACUGAUAACGUCUAACCCUAGGUUGAUUAAUUGAAAUCUCUUUCUAAUUAACACCCUAGUGUUGCAUUAACUCGAUCUAUGGACUCCCUUAUUAGGUUUCACCCUAAUCCGGCAAAAUCUUGUCACCCUAUCUCUAAGCGUGCAAUCAACUCCGCUUAAUUAUGAAAAAUUUACUCUUAGACAGGGACUUUUGCUCCUCUGAAUAAGGGCAUUAACUUGAAUCAAUAUCUUGGAAGAUUAAACCAAGAAUUAAGAACACAUAAUUAAGAAUAAGUCAAAUAUUUAUCAUACAAUUCAGAUAAUAAUAACAAGAUCCGUCUUAGGUUUCAUUCCCCUUAGGUAUUUAGGGGUUUUAGUUCAUAAUUAUGAAAGAAAACAUCUCAAAAGAAAAAUGAUAACAAAAUAUAAAGAAAACCCAAAACUCCUGAAGGAAAUUGAAGGAGAUCCUCAGUCUUGACGAAUAAUCCAGAUUUUGAGAUGGAUCAAUUGGCUUUGCUUGAGUAAUUCAUUGCCUCCUACUCCCUGUGUGUCUUCUAAGUGCCUCCCCAGGUGUUUAAAUAGGCUUUAGAAUGCCUAAAAGCCCUCAAGAGUGGCCUUUUUCGAAUAAUACUGAACUUGGGCUCGACAGGGACACGCUUGUGUGACACGCCCGUGUGCGAUUGCUUCAGACCAUGGUCAAGGCUGUUAAAUAGGCACGGGCGUAUGGUCUAUCUGUGUGAGGAAGUCCAGGCCUUGUUAAUUUCCCAUGUUGGUCUAUUUUCUUCGUUUUCGGCCCAUUUCUUAUGCUCACCUAAGUAUAAAACAUGAAAUUAAAGGAUUAGGAGUAUCGAAUUCACCAAAUCUAAUGAUAAUUCAUCCAAAAAUAUGCUAAGCAUGAGGUAAGAAUAUGUAUAAAUUAUGGUUUAUCAAUGGACUAUCACAGAAGGUGUCAUAGGUUUCUCCAACAUGGGCUUAUACAUAAUUUCAUGUAUUGUGAUCUGCCAUUUCAAAUUAUACAUUAUCGAAGGCUACACCAUAAGCAUAUAUACAGACAUAUCUUGCAAUGGGUCUUAGCCAUAUAGCUUACACACACAUUCAUGUAUUGUAAUCUGCCAAUCCAAUCUUCAUCUUAUUAGAGGCUACACCAUGAGUGUUUCCAAAUCAAAGUAAGAUGUCAUGGGUCUCAACCUUAUAGUUUAUUCUUGUUUUCGUAUCGUGAUCUGCCAGUCUAGUUAGCAAUAUAACUGCCCUACCAGAGGCAUCAUAGAGGAAAAUUUGCUCAGCAUUUACUUCCCUAGAUGAUCACCUUUUUACUAGCUCAUACAUCUCCUACAUCAGACCUUACCUGCAUGCUUACCAAACAUUAUUCUUUUUAAUAGAAUUUAUACAUAUCAUCGUAGCACAUCUUUCAUCUUUGCUAAACUCAUAUUUAUACUAAUUUCUGUAGACAUCAUCAUCACAUAUAUAUAUGCUUCUUGUUUGAACAGUUCAUAUCAAAAAGUCAGGAUAGAGACCCACUUAACUCUCAUCUAUUGCAGUUCAAAGUUCUGGACUCAACCACCCUUCUCAAACCAACAGUAAAAACUGCUUACAAAACAUAGAAUCACCAUUAAAACUCAUUUACAUACAAAUUACCAUCAUCUUAAUCACUUUUCCGCUGCUAAUUAAUAAAUAAAUGUUGAGUAGUAAAUAAAUAAAAAAUUAACUAAGUUUUCAAAAAAAAAAAGUCACUGUGAUGAGAAGAAUAAGUUUUCAAAAACAAAAGUCACCGUGAUGAGAAGAAUGUCAAAAUUAAUUGGUUUUUGUUAACUCAUAUGUUUUUCUAAAAAUAGGUUAAGUUUUCUUCUGAAAUAAACAAAUAUUUUGAAAUGAUUGUUUUAUAAACUCCAAUCAUAGGCCAUCUUAGUGGUCGAUGUAAUCUCCCAAAUUCGGUUCUAACAUCUAGGUUGGGUUGGAGAGGUUACAAUAUAUAUAGAAGGAUUCAUCAAUAAUGGAAACUUGAAUACAAGCAAAGAAAGAAAUCAAUCAAUGUGAAUUACUAACAAGUUCAAAAGCAUAUAUUUGGAUUAUAUUUUGUAAAGUACAAGAAUGUCAAGGAAUUAGACAUUUUGUUUUGAUAGUGAUUAUAUUUUAUAUAUAUUUACUUUUAUGCACUUUCAUAUUGAGUUGAUCAACAGUUUUGAAACUUUAUAGAAAACUUCAAGGUAUCACUUGUUGCGUAAGUGAUAUUUUACUAAGGGUGCAUAAUUGGAGGCCUCCUAGAUAUGUGAAAAUAAUGUUUAAAAAUCCAUCAAAUAGUAAAAACAUAAAUGAAAUAGCAUAUUGAUAUAUAUGGUAUCUUGAGUGUUGAAUUAAACAUUCUUUAGUAAAAGAAUGUACAUUUUGCACAUUGUGGGUGUGUUGGUUUCUUAUAUAUCAAUUAAGCACAAAUUAAAGAAAAAUAAUAUAUAUCACCAUAGUGUUGUAAUAUUUUGUAAAAUUUGUAAAAUUAUAUAAGCAAAAAAGUUUACCUAUCUCGUUAAAUAAAACUCAUUGAGUUGGUUCUUAAUAUUGAAGAAUUAGAGUGGUUGACUUCUUUAUUCAUUUUAUCCAACUACAAGUUGGAUUAAAGUUGUGGAAAUAGAAUGGUUGAAAAUUUGUGUUAAUGAGAAUUAAAGUUGUGGCCACAACUGAUGCCGACUAUUUUCUAGAAACAGGGACUGAUGUCCAAAACAUGUAGUAAAAUAAAAUUUUAGACAUGUUAGCAUAUGAAUUUAUUAUAUUAUAGAUUCAAUGUAACACCCCUAUCCUAUCUCUGUUGCUGGAUUAGGAUUUCAGACUAUUACUAAGAAAAAUAGAACAUUUAACUUUCCAACAGAAACAAUUAUACAAUUAAAUACCAACAUAUAUCAAUUAAAUCUAAUCAUGGCAAAUAUUACACUUAUAGACCUUGAAUCGAGCCUAUGGAGCCCUAGAAAAAAUUUAGGAACAAUUUGGGAUCAAAUCGAAACAAAUCAAAACAUUUUGAAAAAAAUAUAAAAAUUUGGGAAAACAGGGGUCACACGGUUGUAUGGCCAAGUCGUGUGACAAAGCCUACACCGCGUAAACAUUAGAAGUCAAAACACUCAACUGUGUCCCAGCCUGUGUGUCUACUCAUGUGUAUAAUCGAAAUAGGGUCACACAGCUGUGCUGCAGACUGUAAACCGUGUGUGUAUUCGAAGUUAGGUCACACGACCAUGUGACCGACCGUGCCACAAACUGUUUUGAGACACACGGUCGUGUCACAGACCAUGUGAAAUAUGCACCUAAAAUAAUAAAUAUACACGACCAUGUGUGGUGACUAUGUGUGGCACAUGGUCGUGUGGUAGCUUGUGUCUCAGGCUGUGUGCUCCAUUUUUAACCCCUAAAUUAAGUUAAUCAAGCAUCAUUUCUUGCACAGCAAGACAUACCAUAUCUAACUAAUUUUACAUGGUAAAAAUCACAUUCAGAUCACCAAAUACAUACCAAAAUUUCAUUCAUCCUAUGUCUAACCAAUAUACCAUCAAAAGGCAUCUCAAUCCAUACAUUCAUUCAACUCAAGAACAAAGUUACAAUAAAGGAACAAGUUUUAUCAUUAGUUAACCAUUCAUGCCUAAAACCACCAAUCUAAUUGACGAAAAUAUGGGCAUACUCAACAAGCAACCAUUUCAAAACAUCAUCACCAAAUCUUUAUAUACCAUUUAGGAUCAACUUAAUUAUAUCCAACACAAGUACACAUCCAAAACAAAGCACAUCACUAGAAAUACCAAAAUAACUUAACGAUUUACACAUCAACAAUAAGACACCACAUCCCAAAAUGAAAUACAAAAGCUACCGAGAUGGCUGGAUAGUGUGUGCUCCAAAACAAUUCGUCUAGUCAGUCCAUAAAACGCCAACUCAACCAAUAUAGAUAAACAAAAAAGAUAAGUUCUAAUUCUUGAUAUUCAAAUGCAAGAUCACACCACAUUAGUAUAUAUUUAUUUACAUCAUAAAUGAUACCUUCCAAAAGUCAUAACCAAUUCAUCAUCCAAAAUUUCUCAAUACAACCAUUAACAUUUAUAAAACAAAAACUUCAUAGAAACAUUUAUCAUUUAGUAGUAAUAUAACUAUCCAACAAAAUUGAACAAAUAAAUGAGUUUUAAGUCAUUUGAUGCAUAUCCCGCUGAACUAUAGUAACUAGACUCGGAUACUCAAUGAUGCAUAACAGAGGCACCAAAGUGCAAACAGAGGAAGGAAUAUGCAAUCAAAGGCAUUGAAGUGCAAACAAAUGCACCAAAGUGCAAACCCGUACAAGCGCACAUUAAAACCCUAUUGGCAUACUAAUCGUAUCCUAAUCAUUUACUAUGUUCAAUGGGGCAUUAAGAAUGGGGCAUUAUACUUAAAAUCGCAAUACCAAUAAAUCCAUCAUUUAGAGGCACUUCUUAUUUCCGUACACAUAAUAACAAUAAUUACCAUCAUCAAACAUUCAUUUUAUAUUUGUACUUAAUUACAAAUUUUAAUAAUAUAUAAGUAACUAAUGAAAUUUCCCAUAUAUACCAUUAACUAGAAAAAAAUAAUAUAAUCAUAAAGAGAUACACAUAUACAUAUUAUUACAUUAUGAACUUACCUGCAAUCCACUUCCAAAUAAUAUACAGGGACUACUCCGCAAUUUUUCUCUUUCCUCGAUUAUUGUCUUUUUGACUCGGUUCUUGAUCUAUAUAAUAAUUAAAUUUAAUUUAUUAAAUUUACAUAAUUUAAAAAUCAAUUCAAUGCAUGACACCCUUAUGUUUUCAUUAUUUUCACAUUUUCCUUAAACUUUUACAUUUCUCACAAUUUAGUCCCUAAACCCGAAAUUCCAAAAUUUAACAAAAUUUUACAAUUUUCCAUGCUAGCCGAACUUCUUUCUAAACUAGUACAAUCCCCAAUUAUUUACAAUUCACAAAAUUUCUAUGCAAAUUUUAAUUAUUUACACAUUGAUCAUUAAACUCAAAAUUAACACAAAUUCUUUUACAAAAAUAUCCUAAUCAACAUUCAAAUAUAUACAACUACCAUUAAAAAUCAUGAACACCAAAAUUCCAUUACUAACCAAUCCCUAAAACUUCAACAUUUUUAUAAUUUCAUCCUCAGGUUUAAUAGUUUAAGCUACAACGAGUUCAAAAAAUAUAAAAAUUAUUAAAUAUGUGAGAGAGAAACACUUACAUGCACCAAUUUGCUAACCGAAACUUUAAGCUCAAAAAAUGGAGUUUCUUUUUUUCUUUUUCUUUUUUGGUAGGAGAGAGUUGAGAAGAUGAUGAUACCAUAUUUUAUCUUUUGUUUCUUUUCUUUAAUUAAACUAAUUACCAAAUUAACCUUUUAAUCUGAACUAAAUUAUUAACAUAACAUGACCAUAAUUUUCCAUUAACUAACCAUAAGGUUUAUCUAUCAAUCAAGUCCAUUAUUUUAGUUUUUCUUUAAAAAUCAAGCACAUUUAACUAAUAAAAGCUACUUUAGCAUAUUUUACAAUUUAGUCUUUUUUACUAAAUUAACUAACUAGACAUUAAAAUUUCUUAUCCAAAUUUUAAUACGACUCAAAUAUAACUCUAUAAACAUAAAAUAAACAUAAAAUACUAACUCACUUGUUGGAAUUAUGGUCCUGAAAUAACCAUUUUCGAUACUACUGAAAAAUGGGAUAUUACAUUCAAUCUCUAAUUUAUGCUAAUGAAUGUGAGAGAAUAAUUUUCUUUGUAUAGUAAUACUACAACUAGAAUGUGUUUCGAUCCUAUUCUUAGAAACUGAUAGUAGAAACCCAACUUUUAAUUAGAAACCUCUUGUUUUAAAGUUCAAUGGGUAAAAGCAAGUUAUCGUUAUAUGUCUGUGAUACACUAGUAAAACUCAUUAUAGAAAAAAAAAGUUUAAUGGAAACUAGUGUUAUCCAUUGCGUAUAGAGGAUGAAUUUGAAUACUAUUAAUGAAGUUCAUUGUUUAUUGUUUAAAUGUCUAAAGCAAGGGAAACAUUAAAAGAACUCUACCUAUAUAAACAUAAGAAGUGAUGCCACUUCAACAAGUAAAGGUAGGGUCUCUCUUGUAAAUGUUUAUUAUGAACAAGAUAAGCACAUGAUCAUUUUAGUGCUAAAAGUGAACAACCUCUGAUAGAAAUAUAAAUGAAUAUUAUGUGUAGUGUAUUUCAACUUCUAAUACUAGGAGUUGUGGUUCAAUCUUCGGACACCAACGACUUAUUAGAACUUUGAAAAGCAUCCGCUAAUUGAUGGUUCAUAUUGAGAGAUAUCAUCUUAUAUGCAUAAUAUUUGUUGGAGUGAAUGGCUAUAAAGUAUGGUACCAACAUUUAAACUAAGGGUGAUUGUUAGUAGUUUAUAAUGUUGGCAGUAAAAAUAUUUUAUUAUGUAGAAAAGUCUAAUAACUUAUAAUUAUUGGCCAAAUAAUUGUGUUGUAAAGAGAAUUUUUGUAUGUAAAGUUGUCUUAUAAACUUUAUGUAAAGUUGUGUUGUAAAACAACACAAUUAUAUGAAAAGGUAUCUUAUUAAAAGAUAUAUUCAUAUUAAAGGGUAUCUCAUAAAAGAUACAUCUAUUGGAUGUCUAUAUAAAAGACUUUUCUAUUAGUCAUUUAAAUUGUUUUACUUGGAGUGUUGAGGCCUUUAUUGUAUCUUGAAGGUAUUUUAAAAUCUUAAAGAAAGUGCUCUACAUGCCUCAAAGUCGUUAUAUUUUAUAACAUUAUUUUAUUUUUCUAACUUCUAUUUUCCUAUUAUUUAUUUUUCUAACAGCCAGAAUAUAGAAAAAUUAUUAUGUUUCUAACUAUAUAUUAAAUACGAGUACUACUUGGAAGCCAGCACCCACAAACAUGAUAAAAGUUAAUUUUGAUGAGAGUUUUGACGUGGAAGCAAGAAAUGAGGAAGAGGGUAGUUAUGCAGCAUUGUGAUGGUUUUUUAGUCCGACUACGCAACCAUCCAAUUUAGGGUGCGUUCUACAUUAAGGUGAAAAAGCACUUAAAAAGAACAUUUGGUUUUUACACUUAAAAGUGUGAUGGAAAAAUACUUUUUCAUUCAAAUACAAAAAUUAAGAUAUAAAUGCUUUUGACUUUUAGCUUUUACAUUAGAAUGUGAAAAUUAUCAAAUACUAUUAUUUAUAUUAACUAUUUAAAGUGUAUAUAAAAAUUAGAUUAAUUUAUAUUUUAUAUAUCAUUAUAUUAAAUUAUUUAAAUAUUAUUUAUUAUUAUAUCUUUUAAUAAUUUAUAUAUCAUCUAUUUUACAAAUAAUUUAUAUUAAUUACUUCAAAAAUAUUUGGAACUUAUAUUUCAUGUACCAUUAUAUUAAAUUAUUUAAAUAUUACAUAACUUAAAAUGUCCUUUUCUUUAGACAUGAUAGACUUUUAACGGGAAUUUUUUGUAGUAACGGAGAACACCAAAAACUAAUGAGUACAUUUUUUCAUAGCACUUUUCUACCACUUUUCAACUACAACGGUAAUGGAGAACUAAUCCUUACUAAAGUUACCGAAGCACUAGCUUCCACUGUAGCCAUUGAAAUGGGGCUCCAAUUGGGAUUGCAACACAUUAUUAUUAAAAGAGAUGCUCUCUAAGUGGUUUCGAAGUUGAAGGAAGACAAAGAAGACCUACCAACAAUCGGACCUUGAUAGCAAAGAGUUGAAUACUUGCUAAACAGGUUCAGCAAUGUAGGUUUCAACAAAGAAAGAGGCAUGCUAAUGAGGUGGCACAUCAUCUGGCCAAACAGGGUGCAAUGCCCAAUUUCUGCCCGGGCCUAAUCAAAACAGCCCAAAGCAGAAAGCCCAAUUUUUCUAGACCUAGCCCACAACUAUUUUCAGCACCACCAUGCACCCAUUUUCUCCACCACUCUUCCACUCCAGAACACCCACGAACGGUUUCCCUCCAUGCCAUACAUACCUGCAAAAUAGAUUAAUGACUCAUAGCAGUUGACAGUAGAAAGAAAUAACAACAGGAAACGGUUUUGUACUUGGCUAUAAAGCCUUUGAAUUUUUCAUUGUUUGGUUUUUUUUUCUUUCUUUUUUUUUUCAGAGAGAUUGUACACGAAAUACAUACAAAAAUCAAUAGAAAGCAAUUCAAAGGUGAUUUAUCGCUAUUUAUUGUGUUUUUUUUUUCAAUUGGGUUUACAUACAAGUAUAAAAUAUAAGAGAGAACGAGAGGCUUACCGGAGUUAUAUCGCAUUCACGCCGUCGGUAGGACUAGCUCCGUUGGUCACGAACAGAUUUUGGGAGUGGUUGGGGGCUUGAAAGGAGCCUUUCGGCUGGAGAAUAAAGGGAGAGUGAGGGAGAUGAUAUAAUAUCCAAGGCAUUUAGGGUUUUUUUUUUUAAAUAAAAGUUAAAAAGUUUUCUUUUAAGCACAAUUUUUAAAGCGGGUUUUAGGUGAUAAGAAUGAAACAGCAUGGGGAAGGGAAAGGAAUAGCGUGUUUAACUUGGUCCACGUGCAUUUACCCCUUAAAUGGGUAAUUUUCGUUAUCAGUCCUCCUUACUUGCGUCACCCUUUAUUUGAUCCUAUUCUGUUUCUUUUAUUUUUGCCUUGAAUUUUGCGCACCGUUCCAAUUUAGUCCGAGCAUGAGUGUUGCUUUUUUGGGGUUGGGAACAUUUUCAAUUUUAGCCCUUAUACAUUCACGCGCAUUGCGCUUUGGUCCCUAUUUCAAUUUCAAUGGUUUUUUUAUUUGUUAAUUGUCCCUUUAAUUUUGCUUUUCUUCCAAUUAAGUUUUUAUUUAUUUUUUCCAUAAAAUAAGAAUAUAUUAUUUUAACAUAUAGUUUUGUUCAACAAAAUUCAUAUAUAUUUUUGUAUAUAUUAUUUUAACAAAAUAAGAAUAUAUUGUUUUCUUCAUAUGCAUAUUUAUUUGUUUUUUCUUCCAAAAUAAUUUCAUAUAUCAUUUUGUAUUUAUAUACUUUACUUAUAUUAAGUUUGCUUUAUAUCAUGUAUAUACGUAACUUAUACUAAGUUAUCUUUACUCUAAGUGUACAUUAUUGACUUCCUUUUAUUUUAUGUAAAUAUUUCCUUUUAUUUUAUUUUUUUAUGUAUAUUAUUGAUUUUAUGUUAUUUUAUGCUUGUUUAUUUUCUUCUAAGGACCCUAUUUUAAAUGGUAUAUUUUAUUUAUUUUCGUAUGCUAGUACCUUUGUUUUUUUUAUGUAUAAAUUUUCAUUUCAAGUAUUAUUUAUUUAGAUUGACAAAUACUAUGCUAUGUAUUACUUUUUUUAUAUAUAUACAUUAUGUGUCUUGAAAUAUCGUUUAUAUAUUAUUAUGUCGUACAUUAUUUUUAUUUUUAUUAUUUUUUGACCUAUUCCAGACUGUCAUAUAUGUUACCUUAAGAUUUUUAUACAUUUGUUUGAUUGCAUACUAACGAUUCCAAAUUGCAUUUCUUCUAUAUUAUCUAUAUUAUUUGUUAAAACUUGCCACAUACUUUUAUCUCAUGUACAAAACUAAGCUUGUACACAUGUUAUUGCAUCAUGAUCUUUAAAUUCCAACUCUUUGCCCAACAUCAAUCGUUUUUUAUCCCCAAGCAAACCAAACAAGUAUUUUUAAUUCGGUUUUUAUAACUGUUAAUUUAAAAAUUUCCCAAAACAAAGGCAAUGUUUGAUGUUUGAAAUUUUGGAAAUCGUGCCCUAACGUACUGGGUUUCGAUUUUUCGUUUAUCCAAAAUAAUCAAGUAUCCCCUUUAAAGUUUCGUAUGUGUUUUCUAAACUUCAAAACAAGGCAAUGUUCUAUGUUUUGGAAAUCCGAGAAAUCGUGCCCUAACGUGUUGGAUUUCAAUUUUUCGUUGGACCAAAUGAUCGAGUAUCCUUUUGAAAUUUCAAAUAUAUGAGCUUUUGGAAAUUAAGACUCGGUUGUGGUUUCGAGGGUUUAGAAAGUUAUGUCUUAACGUGCUGGAUGUGAUAUUUUAUUCCUUCAUAACAAAAGAAUUCUUAAUGACCAAUUUGAGUUAUUCAAAUAUUUUAAAAGAAAUAGUAUUUCAAAAUAUCUUUUAAAUUUUAGACAUAAGGACAUUGAUUAAUCAAUUAGGUACCAAUUUUGGGCGUCACGAGGGUGCUAGCCCUUCCUCGUGCGUAACCGACUCCCGAACCCUUUUUUCUCGACUUACGUAGACCUGAAAUUAUUGUUUUAAUAAAUCAAAAUGUUUUAUUAAAAUGAUCAAUUUCAAGGUGAUCCGAUCCCACCUCAGAAGGGAUCGGUGGCGACUCCAAACUUUGAUUUUUCAAAGUCGAUCCCCGUUUUUUUCAAACUUUUAGAAAAUGGUUUCGACACAAGGCCUUAAUUGUUUUCCAUCUUUUGUUCAUAUGUUUGUUUUGAAAAGGUAAAACAAAUCCUCACCUAUUGAUGUUAGAACGGUUGAAUUGCUAAAAGCAUGCUGCGUGCAUAACCAUGCUUUAGGUUAGGCUUCAAAUCAAAUAAAUUUUAAAUUAUUUUUAUUUGAAUUUAAUUAUAAAAAUAUAUUAAUAUCAAUAUAAAAUUAUAUACAAUUUUAAGAUAUUUUAUUUUUCAAUAAUAAAACGAAUCAUCUACCAACCCUAAUUCUUCAGUUUUCUUUUUAAUUAGAUGAUAACUCAAGCCAAGCUAACCAAUAAACACCCAAAAUCUACCAUCAUUUUCAUUUUUUUUUCUUUUGUCACAAAGUAGACAGAAGAUUCGGUUUGGAUAAGCUCUACGUUAUUAAGUCAAAAGCUGAAGUAAUUUUAAUCAUAAAUUGUUUUAUUUGUUUAUAAUGCAAAACAAUGACCCAAUUAAUACAAUAAAGCUUUAACUUUGUGGGAAUUUUCAGUCCAAAAAAAAAAAAACAAUUUGUGGAAAUUUUAGAGCAGUUGACCAUUUCUUCCGAAUUAGUUUUCUCACUUCUUGUCCAUAUUCCAUGUAUAUUAUUUCAAGAAAUUAGGUUUAGAAAAUUGCAUAAUUCAACCAUUGAACUAAUAAAUAUUAAAGAAAAAUUGGGUGGCAAAAAUAUCUUAUUAAAAGCGAAUCAUAUACUAUUAAUAGAUUUUAUGAUUAAAUUAGUUUCACGUGUUAACGGGAUAUUAACUUGAUUUAGUAAAUUAUAAAAAUGUCUUUUAAUGUUUAAAAUAAAUUAUAUUAUUUGAAGAUAUUUUAAUUUUUUUAUUAAAAAAGGAUGAUGUCUCAAAUUAACUCACAAUCUAAUUUAAUUUUUUAUUUUAAUAUCGUAAAUGUUUCAUGUUUUAUUAUUAAUUUGUUUCAAAUUAUACAUUUCAUUAUUUAUUUUAUGUUAUUUUUAAACAUAUUUGUGUUCUAAAUACCAAAUUUUCACUUAAGGGUAUCAGAGACGAAUCUAGAGAGGCUAGUAGGGGCCCCGGUCUCCUUAAAAUGAAAAUUAUUAUUUAAGCCCUUUAGAAAAUUUUAAAAUUUUAAAUUAGUAAAUGUAAAAUUGCACUUUGACCCCCUAAAAUUAUAAAAAUUUAAUUUAAUCUUUUAAAAAUUAUAAAGAUAUAAACUAGUAAAAAUUAAAAUUUCAUUUCGAUCCUCCCUAAAACAUAUUUUUGGCUUCACCUAAAGGGUAUGACUAGUAUGAAUAAUUUUCUUUGGAAGUCUUAAACAAACAGGAGUUAAGUAAAAAGGAGUUUUCAUACAUACAUAUUCGGCGUUGAUGUUUCCCUUUCGAAAAUUUAAAUUAAGACAUAGGAAAAGAAACUAAAAUUGAGCUUAAUUUAUGCAGUUGGGUUCAAAAUUUAAUAUUUAAAUAUAAAAAUUCUAAUAAUUCGAUCUGGUCCGUUUCAUCUAGCAGACUAAUAAUAAAUCUUAAAACAUAUUAUAUUUUAAUUUUAAUAAAACCAAAACUGAUACAUUUGACCUACAUCUACAUGUGAUCUAUGCUUAAUUAAAUUAGUCUAAAUUAGACGAGAUCUUGAUUAGGAGUCAUUUAUUUAUAUUAUAAGUCCCUGAAACAUGCAAAACUUACAUUUAAAAAUUAAUAUUUUUACGUUGUUGUUAGAAUAUAGGGUUUGUUAAUGUUUUCGUGUGAAGUCAGCUGUUGACAUUACCAACCAGAUAAUGAAAAGGGAACAUGGCAAUUAUUCCAUCCUAAUUGUCACACACACACACACACCUAAUUAAGUUAAUCCAAAAAUUACCUAACGUUUAGCAUUUCAAUGGUAGAGUCAGCUCUUUCUUCUAGUCUAUCAAAAAAAAAAAAUCAAUUUAACCCCUAACUCUUGGAUGGAAAAGUUUUUGCUAUGAACUUGUUGAAGUGAAUCUAAUGUGAUAUAAACACAUCACAAUCCAUGUGUGUAAUUAAAAAUAAUAGAGAGAGAUUGAAUAAUUUAAAGGGAAAAAAAAAGAAUUUACUCCCUCCACUAACAGGUAACUCUUGCAGCUUGAAUCUACAACGUAUGUAUGAAAGUGAACACCUUUAAUUAAUGAAUAAAUACUAAAGUUCUAGGUUUAGAAUUAAUUAAAUAUCAAUACAAAAAGUUAAUUACUUUUUGAAAUAAGGAUAAAUCGGUUUUUGAGGUUUGAUAAUUUUUCACAUAUCGAGGUUUGAAUUUUUUUAUCUUAAGUUCUAAACUUGACAAUAGUUCUCAAGAUGUGAAGGUUUUUUUUUUAUCCAAAUUAGGCUAUGAACUUAGAUAGAAAUCUUAAAAUUCAACCCUAAUGUAGGUAUAAUUGUCAAGUUAAAAAAAAUUCAAAUCUUAAUAGAAGAAUAAUCUACUAAUUGGUAACCCUAAUAUAAAAACAAUUGUUAAGUUGAAAACUUAAUUUUUUUUAAAAAUUCAAACCCUUAUUAACUUUAGGAUUUAACCCUUUGAAAUAUUGCGUUAAUUAAUAAGUGUAAGAAUUAUUUUGUGUUAAUGAUUAAAUAAAUAUUUAAGUGGAGAUCAAGUUUUACCUCAUUUGUCAAUUGUCAGGUGAAGAAUAUAUACCCUAAAGGCCUAUCAAAAACGGACCUAUCUCUAUAUAUCUUUACUAAUUUACUAUUCAUUUUUAAUGAAAAGCAAUAAAUUAAUGAAAACGCUAUAAAACGAAAACUACAUGAAUAAAUUAUAUGUGUAAAAUUGAAAUAUUUCGUGACGACAUUAUUGAAAAAAAUAAUCAUUAACCUUAAAUAUAAACAAUUAUGACAUUUCUAUAAAAUAUCAUUUAAUAUAUUGCAUCAAAGUUUUAAAAAAUGUUAUGUGUAUACUUUUACCUCGUAUAAAAAAGUCUUUCAUUUCUCAAUUCUUAUGGCAUAGUAAAUUUAUUAUUAAUUUUUAAAAAAAAUGGUUAUUAUUUGUGUAUUAAAUAAUUAUUGGGAUAAAUUUUAAAGUUGUACAUGGAUUUUGGUUACAUGUUAAUUAUAAACAUUAACUUUGAUUUUAUAUAAUUUUAUAUAUGAAAUUUUAAUUUGAUCCAAUUCUCAUAAAUUAUUAACAUAAUUAUUGAUAUAAUAUCAUUUUAUGUUUAUAUGCUAUAUACAGAAAUAAUUAUAUUUAUUCAAUAUAAAAAUUAAUUGAUGUAUUUAUUUCUUUAAACGUAUAUGAUUGAAUCAAAAUUAAAACAUCAUGUAUACAUUUGAACCAUAACUAAAAUUUUACAUAUAUAAUUAUACAAAAUUACAAUUCAUAUACGUAAUAAACUAAAAUUCAAUUUUUUUAUAAAAUUAACCUAAAAAAUUUAAUUAAUUACAUAAAUGACCCUUUUUUUUAUUAAACACGUAAAUGACCUAAAAUCUACCGUGAAAAUUGGUGGAAGCAAAGAGUUUGGCACCACCAACAUGCCACGUCAGCAACCAAGAUAAAAAAAAUCAACUUUUUGGUAGAGCCAUGCAUAAUAGUGCUACUUGUAUAAAUAUCAGGAAAAUACUAUAAUUUCUAAAAAAUAAGGGACUUUAAUAAAAAAAAAUUCUAUUUUCUGGUGGAGCCAAAUAAAUUGGCGCCACCAGUUUCCAAUGUGAUUUUUUUUAAAGUUUUCUAAAAUUUUAAAUAUAUUAAAAAAUGUUAAGUAUAAUUAAUUUUAAAAGUUUAAUAUAUUUAAAAAUUUAAUAUACUUAAUAUAUAUUUUUAAUAGGUAAAGAAAAAAAUGAUUUUUUAAUAUAUUUAAAAUUUUAAAAAACUUAAAAAAUUUAAAUACUUUAAAAAAUAUUAAGUAUAACUAAUUUUAAAAUUUUAAUAUAUUUAAUAUAUUUUUAAAAUAUUUUUAAAAUUUUUAAUAUAUUUAAAUUUUUUAAAGUUUUUUAAAAUUUUAAAUAUAUUAAAAAAAAUUUCCUCAUUACCUAUUAAAAAUAUAUUAAAUAUAUUAAAAUUUUAACAUAUAUUUUUAAAAUAUAUAUUAAAUAUAUUAAAAUUUUAAAAUUAGUUAUACUUAACAUUUUUUUAAUAUAUUUAAUUUUUUACUAUUUUUUAAAAAUUUUAAAUAUAUUAAGAAAAUAUUUUUUAUAUUUACCUAUUAAAAAUAUAUUUUAAGUAUAUUAAAUUUUUAAAUAUAUUAAACUUUUAAAAAUAAUUAUACUUAACAUUUUUUAAUAUAUUUAAAAUUUUAGAAAACUUUAAAAAAAAUUACAUUUGAAACUGAUUGGCUCCACCAGAAAAUAGAAAAUUUUUAUUAAAGUCCCCCCAUUUUUUAGAAAUUAUAAUAUUUUUUUGAUAUUUAUACAAGUGGCGCCAUUCUACAUGGCUCUAUCAAAAAGUUGAUUUUUUUUAUCCUGGUUGCUGACGUGGCAUAUUGGUGGAGCUAAACUCUUUACCUCCACCAAUUUUCACAGAAAAUUUUAAGUUAUUUAUGUGUUUAAUCAAAAAAAUAGAUCAUUUAUAUAAUUAAUUAAAUUUUUUAAAUUAAUUUUAUAAAAAAAACCCUAAAAUUCAUAUAUAUAACUGUAAGAUUUAUGUCCACAAUUAUCUAAAGCUAAUCGGUGAUAAUUACUAUGGAAAUUCAAUGUACUUAACUAAUUGAUUGAUAGGAACAAGCAUGAUGAAAUCCAUGAUUGGGAAGAGAGAGAAUUCAAAAACUGAACGCCCCAUUAAUCCAUGCGAAUAAACUUUUUCGGUAUACAUCAUAAUUCAUUUAAUUUUAUCAUUAUCUCUAUGCUAUAAUUAUGUUUAAACUAAAAUACUUGAGACAUUAAUAGUUUGUGUUAUAUAAAUUAUGAUAUCCAUAUAUCCAUAUUAUAUAUAUAUUUUUAUAUUAUGAAUGCAUUUAAAAAAAAAUUAUGAAAAAUGUAGAGUCCGCAAAUAAAAAAUGGCUUACAAAUUAACAGAAAACCAAUUUUAUUUCUUGUAAAUUGAUUUACCAUAUUAAAAAGUGUAAAUCUUUUUUUAAAUUUAUUUACGAGUAAUUUUAUUUUUAUAAAAAUUAAUUUUAGCCAAGCCUAAUAUUAUUUUAUUAAUAAUAUUAUUUUUAUUUUUAUUUUUAAACAAUUUAAAAUUAUUAAUAUCAAAUAUUAUAAUGUUGAAUCCUAGUAACAUACAUAUUAAAUUAUUUAUAUUAUGUUAUAUUACAAUUUUAUUUUAAUAAUAAAUUUUAACAACAAUAAUUUUAAAUUUUAAAUCGUAUUUUUAAUAUAUUAUUGAAAAAUAUUUAUAUUAAUAUUUUAAUAAUAAAUAUAUAUUAAAAUUUAUAAAUAUUUAAUAAUAAAUUUUUUAUAGUAUAAAAUAUGAAUAUUUUAAUUAUAUAGAUAUGAGUAUUUGUUUAAAUCAUGCUUAAGUUCAUUUAUCUCCCAACUCUAAUGUGUCAUUAUACACUGUCAUAUAUAUAAUAUAUGUAAUUUAAGCAUUAUUUAUUAUUAAAUUUAUAUAUGAUAUUAAUUAUAAUAAAAUAUUAUCUUAUUAUAAAAGAAAUUCCAAUUGUCAAAAAGAAAUGUUACUCUAAUAUUUUGUAAUAAGUAUAUUUAUAUUGUAUUUGUUUCACUAAUAACAAAUUUAAAAUGAUUUUAGAAAAAAAUAUCAAAAAAUAAAAAAUAUUUUAAUCAAAAUAAUUCAAAUAAAAAAAACUAAACUUUUCCAUGAAAUCAAUCCAAUUUUAAGAAAACAUUAAAAUUGUUUUAGGUGAAACAAAAGGAACCUAUAUUUUAUAUAGUAUUUGAAAAGUUGUUGUAUCUAGAAUUAUUAUCUUUAAUUUUUUUUAGGUCUAUUUCUAAUUUUCAAAAAUUGAGAAGUUAAUUUCUCUAUUUUACUUUAUCAGUCCGUGCUUAUUUUUUAUUAAUUUGUUGUGUAUAAAUGGUUAAACUAUUGAUUUUUGUUAAUUACUAGCAUGUAAAUUGUUAAACUACUUGUUCCCAAGUCAACAGUAAAGCUUAAUAGUAUUAUCAAUUUGGAAUAAUUUCUGAGAUUUUUCUUUUAUUUUGCGUGAUUAAGAUAUUUUUCAUGUACGGUUUAAGGUUUAUGAAGACUAAUCCUUUCGAGUUUAUAACUACCCUUUUUAAUAAUGUCGUCUUUAAAAUUCGAGUUCUCUUUCUUGUAAGUACAAUAUGCCUUACAUUUAUAACUAAUACUUCUUAUUUUUGUAAAAUAUAAGAAUCAAAUUAUGUAGUAAGAUUAAUUUCUAGAUUUUUUAAAUUUAAAAUUUAACAUUUAAAAUAUUAUCAAUCACAUCACACACAAAACCAAAGAGCAAGAGAAUCUAAAAAACACGUGGACCAUUAAUUUAGGAAUGGACAGAAACUCAUGCAAAAUGGUUGGAAAACACGUACAGGAUUAUAUAUACUAAUCAUUUUUAUUAUUAAGCAGAAUUGGAAAUAAAUAAAUACGGGCGAAACCACUGAAUAAUACAGCAUUGAAAUGCAAUUUGUCUACAUCAUUAUUGUUCUUCACUUCAAACGCGGAGACUAGUCUAGGGUCCCAAUCUUUUGCUUUAUCUCUCUAGAUAUAUCCUUUUCAAACUAUCUUUUUGUAGCUUUAUUUGCAUCACAGCAUUAUCUUUUCCUGCAAACAACUGUUUAAAGAUUAAAACAUGCAAAACAUUCUGAAAUAAUGCACCCUGACCAGAUGACAAAAAAAAAAGAGGAUUCUAAUGUAUCUUACCUUGGAUUGGAGCACGGUCAAAGCCGUGGCUUAGUAGUGGUGAGGAGGAGGGGGUGAAGCGUAGACAUAAUGGGGUGGGGGUGGAGGAGGAGACUUGUAUUUGUAAACUGGAGGAGGAGGUGGUGGAGACUUGUACUUGUAAGGGUGCUUGGGGGGUGAUGGUGGGGGUGGUGGGGGUGACUUGUACUUGUAGGGGUGCUUGGGUGGUGACGGUGGGGGUGGGGACUUGUACUUGUAAGGGUGCUUGGGGGGUGAUGGUGGUGGUGGUGGAGGUGACUUGUACUUGUAGGGGUGCUUGGGUGGUGACGGUGGUGGUGGUGGGGGGGACUUGUACUUGUAGGGAUGCUUUGGUGGGGAUGGUGGUGGUGGUGGUGGGGACUUGUACUUGUAGGGAUGCUUAGGUGGGGAUGGUGGUGGUGGUGGAGACUUGUAUUUGUAAGGAUGCUUUGGUGGUGAUGUUGGUGGAGGUGGUGGGGACUUGUACUUGUAAGGGUGCUUGGGUGGUGAUGGAGGUGGAGGUGGUGGAGACUUAUACUUGUAAACUGGAGGUGGUGGGGGUGGAGACUUGUACUUGUAGGGGUGCUUGGGUGAUGAUGGAGGUGGAGGUGGUGGAGACUUAUACUUGUAAACUGGAGGUGGUGGGGGUGGAGACUUGUACUUGUAAGGGUGCUUGGGUGGUGAUGGUGGGGGUGGGGACUUGUACUUGUAGGGGUGUUUAGGUGGUGAUGGUGGUGGUGGUGGUGGGGACUUGUACUUGUAAGGAUGCUUGGGUGGUGAUGGUGGUGGAGGUGGAGGAGACUUGUACUUGUAAGGAUGCUUGGGUGGUGAUGGUGGUGGAGGUGGUGGAGACUUAUACUUGUAAACAGGAGUUGGUGGGGGAGGAGAUUUGUACUUGUAAGGUUUCUUGUGUGGUGGUGGUGGAGGAGAGUAGACCGGAGGAGGCGGUGGGGGAGACUUGUAAUGGUAGGGUGGUGGUGGGUAUUUCUUAGGAG
RNAcentral lists this long non-coding RNA (51135 nucleotides) under Gossypium barbadense (sea-island cotton). Its description in RNAcentral is "long non-coding RNA (GBAR_LNC001208)". The stretch from base 32032 to 32138 matches the Rfam family "Plant small nucleolar RNA R71". The record is from RNAcentral. Lineage: Eukaryota; Viridiplantae; Streptophyta; Magnoliopsida; Malvales; Malvaceae.